RNAcentral lists this long non-coding RNA (70530 nucleotides) under Ananas comosus (pineapple). Its description in RNAcentral is "long non-coding RNA (ACOM_LNC022555)". Lineage: Eukaryota; Viridiplantae; Streptophyta; Magnoliopsida; Poales; Bromeliaceae. The record is from RNAcentral.
AUAAUAAAAAGUCUUUCGAUUGAGACUUCAUACUUUUACCUCCUUUCUCUCUCUGUUAUGGUGUUUAACAUGCAUUUUAUUAAGCUACUUUUCUAAGACAUACUUAAAAUCUAAAAAUUUACUCUACUGUCUGUAGAAAUACUGAAAACUUUUAAGGUAAAAAUGUAUAGAACUUAACGUGAGCUACUGUCGACCAUUUUGAUUUGGCUAAUCCAAUCUUUCAAAAUUUUGAUUUUGCUAUCCAACUUUUCAAUUUGUUUGAUUUGAGCCAGUCAACGACACUUUGACUUCAAAAUUUGAAGGUGUCGUUUAUCCUUACAAGUUUAAUUAGUAUAUUUCAUGCAAUUUUCGCAACUAAAUUUUGAAGUCAAAAUGCCAUCGACUGACUCUAAUCAAAUGAAUUGAAAGACUGGGUAGCCAAAUCAAAACGGUCCAUAGUUCAUAUCAAUUUUGUAUGUUUUUACCGACUUUUAAUUUCGCUUAUUUGCAGCGCUCCUCUGUUUGUGACACAUAAUUAAGUUUCUUCUUCUUUGCACUUAGAGAAAACCACAGCGCAGUUUUCUAGGUUGACUAAGGUGUCUCUUGUGUUCUCAUUCAGCUUAUGAAAUUACAGUAAGGUAAGGAAUAGAAAUAGCCGAAGGAUAGUUGGUUGAUGAGGACUCGUAUUAUUAUUUGUUUUUGCUAUUAAAACUUAGUAGUACUUCUUAUACAGUAUUGAUCGGUCAAGAAUGUAUGCUGUUUGAGCAUGCAAUGAUGGCUCUUCUUGUUAGACUGUUAUUUGUUAGAUCAAUCUUUUCAGUGAAAUGUGAAUCUUUGAAGCCUUUACUAGGGUUUAACCCACUUAGCAGCUUCUUAGCAGUUGAUAGAUCAUAAAUACUUAAACUGAUGUUAGAUUGAUAUGAAGUUGGUCUGUCGAGACUCCAGAUUCAAGCUGCAGGCAUCUUUUCAGGGGAUCUAAUGUACAACCACUGGGGUUUCGGGGCAGAUUUUAGUAGAUGAGUUCCGUCAGGUGCAGAGAGGCAGUAGGUGGAGAGGUUGGUAAUAUUUGUUCAGGGUUUUGAGACCAGAGAGGUGGUGUAAGGUUGGUCACGAUGACGAGCAAUUUACUCUCACGCUAGGUUACUGUUGCACGCGCCAUGGAUAGAGACUCUCAAACCAUGUACAAUUCUUAUAUUCUAAGUUCUAACUGUGUCGUGGUCGGUUCUAUAUGUUGUACUUAUUUAGGGUUUCAGAUGAUUGAUUUGGGCCUACCGACUAGCACUUGGGCUUUUGGAAGUUAAAAGAGCUAAAAAUAUAGUAAACUGAAAUCAGCUAAUAACAUACAAAACAACACCUUCGGAUGUCGUUCUUGCACAAAAUAAUAAGGUUUCAUUCAAAGAAUAAGCGAGAUCGACGCCUUUUGCUAAAUAAGCAGAACUGCGAGUGUUAAAUGAAAUUCUAAUCAUUUUUUAUGAUUCUAGUUGAAAAAAUGAUUCUAAAUUCAAAAGAAUAGAAGCAUAAACUGUUUAUUGUAGUCCAGCAUAUAUAAUAAUUAAGGGGCUUUUGCUUAUUUACCCCUGACGACUAUUCAAAAUUUCCAAAUUUGCCCUAAAAUUACCAAAAUACCCUUCUAAACCCCAAAUCCUAUUUGAGUAAACCCUAGUGUUUGGGGAUAUUUGAAGGGAUUUUUGGAAAUCAAUGGGGGCAUUUUGGUUAAUCAGAGAUAUAUUAGAUAUUUUUGAAGUUUUGACUGGUAUAUUAGAUAUUAUCUAAUAAUUGUUUUAAUUAAUUAAACUUAGGCUAAAUUGCACUUUUUGUCCUCAAGCUAUCAGGCAUGCUAUACUUUGAUCCUCAAAUUUUAAUUUGUUGUAAUUGUUGAUUCAAACUUUUUGAAUUGUUGCAAUAAAGCCCCACAAUCUGAUUUAGUUGACUAAAUAUUGAUGUGUCGCUAAUAUGAAAGUAAUAUAGCAGUGUUGUGAUUGAUAGUGCGAGAAUGAUUAAGAUGUAAAAUUACUUCCACAUGAGUGACAUAUCAAUAUUUAAUCAAUUAAAUUGUGUUAUGGAUUUGAUUACAACAACUAACAAAAUUCAAGCCAGAAAUUGAAACAAAUUAAAGUUUGAGGACCAAAGUGUCACGCGCCUCAUAGCUUGAGGGCCAAAAGAGUAAUUUAGCAUAAUUAAAUUAACGUUUCAUAUUCAGCAUCACAUUAUCUUUGAAAAUCUAAUCAUCAAUCAAUCUCUUCUCAUGCAUUUAUCUCAUGUACAUUACAUGGUAUGUUAAGUACAUUCGAAAUUCCGUCUUGCUGCGUCUUUUUACGGCCGUCGUCUUCACCGUGCUCGAAUCCACCCUACUCGUUACAACGUAAAUGAAAUUUUUUCUAUUUCAGGGAACAAAUAACCAACUUUUGCUGCUGGAGAAGAUGAACCAGAGAGUAGGAGAAGAGUACAACGCCUUCGGAGAUGUCGCAUCCGGGCUAAGAGUCUUUGUCGAACAACUCGGCGAGAAGAGCCGUGGCUUCGACGAGUUCGUGCAGCGAAUCGACCGUAUAGACCAGCAAGUCACCGAGUUCGAAGCUGUUGUCUCGAUGCUCGAUAAAUACGUCUCCUUACUAGAAAAUAAAGUACAAUCCGCGUAUCAUCAUAAUACACCGCCUUAGUAUUUCUGUUGGGUUAAAUUUUACGGUCUUCUUGGAGAUAUGAUCCGAUCGAUGAUUUUGCUCGAUAUUUCCUUGUUCUUUUUCUUUGUCAUGGAGAUCAGAAUCAUUUGAUUUGGGUGGGUGUAGAAAUUGUUGUGUAUGUUGAGUGAGUGGUUAGGUAAAAAAGCACUUUUGUGCAGGUUGUGUAAUAACUGCAGUUAGAAAGAGAGAGCUCUUCUGUUAUUGACAAUCUCUUCAUUUUUCUACCAGAGAGUUAAGUAGUACGGUUACUAUAUUUGAUAAAGAUAUAUAAUAAACAAUUAAAAUAUACUAAUGCAAAAAAAAAAAAAAAAAAAAUUAUGCCAUCGUAUGUCGAGACACAUUUUUAUGAUCGGCGCUGCACGGAAUGCACCGUGCCGUACCACACCAGCAAGUUUGCAACGUGAUUGCAAUGUGACAUCAUGUCAUCAGCACUAUGAAAUCGACGGCAGGCAGAAUUUGACACCACAAAUGGCGAAAAGGUAACUGACAGAAGAAACCAGCAAGACCUUUCUUUGAUCUUAAGAUUCCAAGAAAAGCUCCACUCAGAAUAUAAAUCAUCCUCAACCACUGACUAGGAAAAAUAAGCAGCACCAUAGAAGAAGAACAAUUAUUUAGGUUUAACACACUGGAACAAAAGCCAGAGAUACUUACUAUAAUGCCAUAAAAAUACCAAAUAUACACUGCAUUUUAUCUGCUUUAUUCGGAUAAUUAUGUCCCUAUUAAGGAAAACAUAAAAACGUAGCAAUCAGAGAGGCAGGCUCCCACACUACGCACCUCGACCUUGUAAACUACCAUUUCACUUGCACUUAAACACAAUAUCCACAGUAGCGGCAAGCUCUUUCGACGCAUUCUCAUGCUGUUAUUGCUAAGGCCCUUUCGCUGCGCAUUACAACUUUACUAGGAGGCAACACAAACAACAAACUGCAACACACCAACACACUCACAAAGCAUACACACAACGGGCGGUUACUAAUCCUUCUUCCUCUAAUUUCCUAACUCUUCAAAACUUGCAAGAAGUGCCCAGCCUCUGCUUCUGCCACUGGCCGGCAGCCCCGCACCUGCGGUCGCGGAGCGCACGUUGCAGCAGAUCGUGGAACUUCUCGAGGAAGGCCAGCCACUCCUCGUCACCCAUGUCGACCAGCUUCACAAAGCUCGUGCUCCCCGGAAGCUGCCCGUUUGCGCUGCUGCUGCUGUUCCCGCCGCCAGCCGGAUCGCUGCCGUGAUUGUUAAUUUUCCCAGUAGCAUUAUGCCCUUUUGGUGCUAGGGUUUUGUUGCGUGGAUUCUUCUCGGUGAGGCUAACACCCUUUAACGAAACCGAGAGUUUCGAAGGAGUAGGAAGCCGCUCAUGAACAGCAGAGAAGCUAGUAACCUCUUCCAUGUCUAAGUUAUUCUCAUCAUCUUCCUCUUCCUCCUCGAUGCUCUCCUCCAGUUUAGAUAGAGGGUUUCUAAAGCUCAACCCCUUGCUUCCAAAAUUGAACAAUCUUGGCGAUCUGUAACUGUCGACUUCCUCACCAAAGUCAAUGUGAAACUGGAACUCAUUAUCCUCUGUUUCUAGUUUCGGCGAAAAUUCUUCUCUUUCUGCUAUUAUCCUCCUAGCCUCCAUGCAAACUACCUCGAGCUCACUCGGCUCUUCAUCAAACCCCUUAAACUCUCUGCUCAUCAUUUCGCCUAUCUCUGCCAAGCAGAGGCCAAAAGCCGCCGCUUCCUUGAGGAAGAUUGUGCACAGGACCAGAACCUUAAGGCAGGCUUCACGAAUCAUCGGCAAUUCCCUUCUAAGCAUUUCACAAUCACUGGUAGGGUCGAGCCUGUCAAUGUAGUCGAGCUCAUCAUCGGAAAAGGGGAUCGACGACUGUGGCCAGUGGAUCCACUCAAAGUACGGAUCCUCCAAGCUCUCAGGGAGGCAGAGGCCGUGAUCGAUAGGGAUCAGUUCUGUCUGGCCCCCGAAUCUGCCAGCCGCACCAUCAAAUUUCCUAACUAGGAGAUUUCCAGCAUGUCUAUCCGUAUUGAAGAUUCUGACAUCAAGUAUGCCGAUCCUAUGGACAGCGGCGACAGGGAAGCUUGAUGUGCCAUGAUCACUAGCGUCAAAAUCAUGAGGUAUAAACUGCUGGAAAGAAGCAAUCUUGCUGGUCACCUCGUGUUUCCUGUCGCAGCCCCUGGGGUUAUUACUAUUUACACCAUCAUUCACAUGGAAUACCGAGUGGGUAAUCUUGACCAGGGCCGUGGGAGGGACGUUAGCAAAGUGAUCGUAGUCCAGCAGGUAUGCAGCUACCUCUCUGAAGCCAGUCUCGCCGACGCGCACGGACCUUUUCAGACCCGGCUGUCCCAGGGCUUUCCCAACAAAGCCUUUCGGAUUGUUCGGUGCGAAUGGCUCUUCAUCAGUUGGCUUCACGAUGGCAACAUUGUCGCCUUUACUGUUUCUAAAGUAGUAUGCUCCCCCAAGUCCGCUAUGAACAGGUAUCGGCUCCACCCCACCUUUGAUAGCCUUCACGACAUCCUUGACAAGCUGCUCUAACCGAGCACAUCGGCUAGAACAGCCCAGUAUCUCAACAAUACCGCUCUGAUCCUUUUGCUCGGAAUCCCUCGGACGAAAGCAUGGAGUGGAGGUGCUCCUAUGCAUCGAGUUCCUCGUGAGAAGCAAUGGGGCGUGACCCCUGAUAAUACUCAAAUCAUUCUUCAGCACGAGAUCACCAAACACGAGGGAGCUCUCAUCUGUAGGAACAUUCAGGGCUAACUGAAGUCUCCUCUUGACCGUAUGGGCGUUGUCCCCGCGGUCCAAUUCCAUGUCCAGGACACAGCCUGUCUCGGUCUGUACAAACACCCGUCUCCGACCCACCGGCUUCCCCUCACCUUUCUUGGUGCCGCCAUUGAGCUCGCCGCCAGGGUUAGGGUUUCGGUUAAGGACUGCCACCGCCAUCUGCGUCUUAACAGGGCUGUCCAAGUUUGGCGACAUGGAACGAGGAGACCCGUCGGGCGAGGCUGUCGAGAGCGGGGACAGCCACCGGAUGGAGAGCCUUCCGCCUCUUCUUAAUGCGGGCGCCAAACACGGAGUCUGACGCGGUUAAGGAGAGCGGAAGGCGGUACCCACUAACAAUCAUGAAUCAGGGGUAGCAACAGUCACACGCCUCACACCACCGGGAGAAAAAGGGGCAACUGACUGGAGCGGAGGCGAAGAUCACAACUCCUCUCAAGCCAUCUAGUCAGUGUGCCGACGAAACCAUCGUAACCAGAAACCUACAAGGAAAAAAAGAAACAGUGAGUUCAAGAUCUCGCAUUUCCUUCACCAAGAUUUAAGAUCCGCAGUGCGAAAAAAGAAACUUUGCACAGGAAACAUCUUAUGAACUACCGUAAAUCUAGAUUGUUUAGCAUUUCAUUAAUCAAAAUCAAUGGUAUGGACAUAGGGUGGGUGGUCUAGGCUCAACACAGCAACACCCAUGAUGGUUUUUUACUAUUAAGCUUUACAGAAACAAAACCACAAAGUAAGUAACUGAAGAUAUAACAAAAGAACUAAGAGGAAAGAGAAAACUAGGGUUUUGGAACCCUAAACACUAAACUAGGGUUUUGGAACCAAUUUACUACAUGUAAGGGCAUAAUAAAUAAGGCCAAAAGAAGUGAGAAACUUAAAAACCCAUAAGAGUUUCAAAAUAUUUAAUUUCAACUUGAAAAAAGGCAACUUUUUAAUGCAUCAAAAAGCUUCGAUUCGAUGAAUCGAGAAAAUUAGUGGUUCAGUUCUCAAAUCUUAAAAGAAAUUUACGUAUAGAUUAUUACAACCCCACACUGAAACUCUACUAGGAAUAAAUAACUAAAUAAAUAAACAAAAAGGGGGGAAAAUAUAGGGGGAAAAAAUAACCACAAAUUCAUGUAAACAACAAGUUAUCAUGGAACAAUCAACUAAAUAACGAAACUAUCCACUCGUAAAGUAAUAGAUCUAAUUCCUAUAUAUACAUAUAUGCACAAAAUUUCCUCCAAAAUGGCUAAUUGAUCCAAAAAAAUUUAUAAAAAUAGGAUUAAUGAUUUGAAAAAUCGGAAGCUACCUAAAUAAUAUAACAUCAAAACGUGAUACGCACAGUUAAUUUCUUUAAAAAAAAAAGAAUCUUUUUGAUAAUAAUUGUAAACAUUAAAAUAAGAGUAAAAAGGGGGAAAGUUAUAAGAGGAAAGAUUCCCACUUCUACGUGAAAACAAUUAAAUCAUUACAGAAAAUUUAAACGGAAUAAAUAUACUCCUACCGACCAAAAAAUAGAUCAAAUUUCAUACUAUUUCGGGUAAAAACCCCAACUAGAUAACUCCAAUUCGACUCAAACCACUAAACUUCACCAAAAUUUCCAACAAAAUCCACAUAUGAGCUGAAUCAAAACACGACCAAAUCCACAAAUCCGAACAAAACCGACACCAAAUCCACAAAACCCUAAAAUCCACAGUUGCAUAGAACCAAGAAAAGCAAACCAAACCCGCGAAUCUCUACACGGUCGAGAAUCCAAACUCACCGGGGAGCCGAGUUCCGGCGGGAGACAGCGCCGGGACCGACCGGGAGACCCACGGCCGUCCGAUCCGCCGCCGCGACGGGAAUGGACGGCCGGGAUCCGAUCAGGGGACAGCCGAUCCGACGGCGGAGAGAUCGCCGGAGCGGCGGCGGCGGCGACGAGAUCCAAACCCCACCACCCCCACCACCACCACCACCACCAAAACCCUAAUCUCUCUCUCUCUCUCUCUCUCUCUCUCUAACCCGCUCGUAGUAUCGGGAGAAGAGGGGGUGGGGUUAAAACACUAACCAUGGUUAGAUCACGAAAAGGCUCAGCGUGCGUAUCCCCAGAAUAAUUAAUUAUGCGGACAACACGAUCCGCCGUUCAUUUUCCGCAUCAGCAGCGUUUGAACGGGUGGGAUUAAACUCACCGCGGGAGGGUUUUAUGCGGUUGUGGGGUUACAUGGGAUUCGAUUAGUUUCCGGGUCAGCUCGCGUGGAAGGGUCUAGAAGAAGCUUCUCGGCCGUCGGAUGGGCGGGUCGGAUGAUCAGAGCCGUUGGAUUUGUAGGGUGACGUGGAAGAGCGCGAUUGGAUAAGAUGGGGGGCGGCCAUUGGGCGUUCGUUCCUCUCAAAAAAAAAAUUUAUUUUCACAAAUAGCAAUACUAAUUUUAUAAUUAUAAUUUUGUUCCUAUUUUCGCCGUACAUGCGACACAUUAGCACCACGCGAGUAGAGAUAGUGGAUGUAGAAUAAGUUGAACACAGUGAAUAAUUUAUCGUAUUUAGUGUAUAUUAUAUUACUUGCGCGUGGGGUCAAUGUAUUCACUGAACACGAUGAAUGGAUUAUCGUUUUCAACUUAUUCCACAUCCUACAUUCCUGCUCGUAUGGCGCUGACGUAACGCCUGCGUGGCACAGAUAGGGCAAAAAUUAUAAUUAUAAAAUUAGUGAGGCAAUUUGUGAAAAAAAAACUUUUUUGAGAGGGUGAAAUGCAAAAAACGCCCAAUACUUAUAUAUAUAUAUAUAUAUAUAUAUAUAUACAAAAAACGCCCAAUACUUAUAUANAUAUACAUACAUAUAUACAUAUAUAUAUAUAUAUAUAUAUACAUAUAUAUAUUUCUCUCCUUUUUAGGCCGGCUAAAAUACAGAAAAAUUCUAUAAAAAUAUUUUUGGAAGAUUAUGAUUUUAAUGAAGAGAAUGAAAUAAGCAAACUAUUCUCAUUUGUUCUAGAAGAAAAAUAAAUUAAUAUAUUUUUAUCGGGCUUUUUUUGCAAAUAGCCCCCUAACAAUUUUUUAUUUUUUAAAUUAGUCAUGUCAAAAAUUUAUUUACAAAAAUGGCCUUGAUCCUGCCACGCAAGCGCCACGUCAUGGCCACGCGGGCGGAGCUGGGGCCAGGUGUUUAAGUUGAACACGGUGAAUCAUUCACCGUGUUCAAUGUAUUAUACACACCCAAGUCAGGAUGUGAAUAAUACAUUGGACACGGUGAUUAGUUCACCGCAUCUAAACACGGUAUACUAUUCACCGUGUAUUGGACACGGUGAACUAUUUACCGUGUCCAAUACAAAAUACCCGACCAAAAAUGACUACGUGAGUUAUUUGUAUUGAACACGGUGAAUGGUUCACCGUGUCUAAACACGGUGAACAGUUCACCGUGUCCAAUACAACUAACCAGACUUAGCCAUUUUUUUGGCGCAAAUUAUUUUGGCGCAAAAAAUCAAAUCAAUACACAUCACAACAUCGCCAUAUUUUUUGCGCAAAAAAUCAAAUCAAUGCACAUCACAACGUCACAACACAACAAUACAAUACAGAUACUUAAACGCAACAGUACAAUACAAUAUCACAGCAUCACAAUACAACAGUACAAUAUACAUAUCACUACCAACAGAAUCUCAAUAAAGUAUAAAUACCAGAUAAUCACAACAGAAUAUCCAAAAUUAAAACAAGUUUUACAAUAUGCAAAUAUAAUAUCAUGCUCUCAUCCUACUCCAUCGACCACGUCGCCUACCACGUCCGCGACCACGAUCAACACCAUGCUCAUCAAAAGGCUUCAAGAUCUCCAACUGGUCCAGAUGCUCGAUAGCAGCACCCUCAAUAACCGGCUCAAUCACAGCAGUAGCAGGUAUCGGUAGUAUGUCUGGCCGUGGAGGAGCUGAAGAGGAGAGCUGAUCUGUACGGUUAGACUGCAUAUGUUGUCGGCGCCUAUAAUAAACAAUAUCAACUGCUCCAGGUGGAUCCUGUGGUACUGGUGCUGGUGCCGGAUCCAUAACAUCAGCAUAAGGUGGCUCCUCUAUCGGUGAUGAUGGCCUCGGUGGACUAUAUACUGGUGUAUGGCUGAACGUCGAUGCUCCACCAUAGUCUGCUAGUCGUGGAGGUACAGUGUGUGCAAGCGUAGGUAAAGUCUCCAAAACUGCUUCCAUCUUAUCAGCAACAUGUGAUAGGACGUCUAAUACUCCACCUCCUGGAAUAUCUGGUAGGACACAUCUAAUACUCCACCUUCUGGAAUAUCUGGUACUCCACCUCUUGGAAUAUCUGAUGUAGAACUGCUUCCAUUGAUAAUCACUUGGUAUUGAUCAUCACCGCCAGUAAGUAUGUCGAACUCGUGAAAUUAUCGUCGAACUGUAUAUACUCUAGCACUUCUCAUCCGGCUAUUGAUGGUGUUUUCAACAGUCGACACAAAUUGCGUAGACAUUACAGCGCCCUCCGCCCAAUGUUUUAGAAAAAAUUCUACCACUCGAUGAAAUGUUGCCAUCACAAAAGCUGUAAUUGGUAAGGUGCGAACUCCCCUCAACACCCCAUUUAAACUUUCCGAUCGGUUAGUUGUCAUAAUACCAAAUCGUCGACCACCAUCAAAAGCUUUAGUCCAGUAUGUCCUAUCGUUAUGAAGAUUGUCAACCCAAAGCCGAGCUUCUUCAUCCAUAACCUUCAAUUCUUCCUUUAAUGCGUAAUAUUGUCGUUCUUCUGAAGCAUUCCCAAUUCGAUAAAAUAUUUUAAGUAAGUAUUUUGCUUUGAAAUGAAUAUUCAUAUUGGCCUUCAUAUGUCGCAAACACCAUCGAUGAGCAUGACCUUUAGAUGGUGGGAAUACAAGUGCAACGAGGUUCACUAGCCCUUUAAAACGAUCUGAAAUUAGUGUAAUAACUCGAGAUCUUGUUAUAUACCUUCUUAGGCAACUUAAAAACCACUCCCAACUCGACCAUUCUCCCCCUCACAAAUUGCGAAAGCUAGCGGAAAUAAACCACCAUUGGCAUCGACACCUGUGGCAAUUAAUGCGUGGCCUCUAUAUUUUUUAUACAAAUAGGUAGCAUCGAUACUAAGUAAUGGCUGGCAAUACUCCCAACCAUGAAUCGAUGGUGCAAAAGCCCAAAAGGCUCGUGAAAACAUUCUAGUAUUGCUCGUCACACUAAUAAAAUCAAUCUUCGUAAUAGUUCCAGGAUUUAUUGAUUCCGACAUAGAGAAGUAUCGAGGAAGAUCGCAGUAUGAUUGCUCCCAACUACCGUAUAUAAUUUGUAGUGCUUUAUUCUGUGCCCGCCAAGCCUUGCUAUAUGAUAUGCUAACGUGUAACUCACUCUGAACUCAAGCUUGAAUUUCCAUAGGACUCAUAGUAAGCCUUGCUUUCAGGUAAUAUAAAUUGACAUAUGAAUGAUGAUGUACAGUUGCGAUGUCUUGUAUUCAGAAUUGGAAGCAAACAUGUGUGCGGACCUUUAUAAGUCUUUACUUUAAAAAAUGAACUACCUUUCGGUUGAGAGGCAUGUAAUCGCGUCGGACCGCAACCAAUUCUUUACGGCCACCAAUAUAUCGUGGUACAUUAUUGUUCUCGACAAAAUUUUCAUCCUAAUGGAUACAGAAAAGAACACAGUCGCCAGAUAUAGAGUUCUAAAGUAAUAUAAUAAAAUUUACAAAAAUAUUAAACUCAAGACAUACCACAUUUCUAGGAUACAACAAAAGAGAGGGUAAGAGAUGGUAUUACCAUUGUACAAGCACGGUCGGCGCGACUACUUUGCAAAUUAAGAGCUAAGGACUGACCUGUGACAAAGACAACGAGAACAAUCAGUGAGAGAUAGAGAUAGAGAGAGAAAGAGAGAGAGAGAGAAAUGUGGGGGGUUUAGAUGCCUCUGUGAGGGGGGGUGNNNNNNNNNNNNNNNNNNNNNNNNNAGAUUUCAGAUAUCGACCAACAAAUCUUUGUCACUUACGCUAAAAAAAUUGCGCGUUAAAUAUUUAUGUAGAUUAUUAAACUGACAUUUAUAUACUUUAGUUUUAUUGAAUGGGAAUUUGAAGUCUUUUGGCCGCCGGGCAGGCGGGGCGAUGGGGCAGGGCGCGAGCGGGCCAAGCGGCGCGGGCAGGCGCUGCGUUGCGGCGUCGGGUGCGGGUGGGCGCGCAGUUGCGUGGUAGGUGGCGCGGUCUGGUGGUGGGGCGGGCAAGCCGGCACGGGCAGGGGCCCGGACUCGAGCCUGCACGGGCUUUUUUUUUUUUUUUUUUUUUUUGCCUUUUUGCUGCUGGGACCCUCUCCUAUCUCUCUCUCUCGUCUCUCUCUUUCUACACUUCUUAUUUUAUUAUGGUAUUUAUUGAAAACAUACAAAAAAUAAAUUUAAAAAUUAAAAUUAAAAUUAAAAUUAAAUAAAUUUGAUGGCUGUGGUUGAAUAUAGUUAGACAUAAAUAUAUAUAUUUUUACCAGUUUUAUAGUAAUUAUAAUAAACACAAAAUUAUGAAUUUAGAAAUCUCAAGAAGUAGAGAUGUCGAUGGGUAUAGAUACAUAUGUCGAUGGGUAUAGCACGGGUUUUUUUUUUUUGAGAGAGCAGUAGGUAGCACGCUAUCCGUUUCGUUUAUUUAAUUUAGAAAUAAACUUAGCUAGAAAUGUGAAUCAAUUAGGAUUCGAACUUAGGUCUCAGGUAUCAACCAUCAAACUCUUUGCCACUUGUUCUAGAAACGAUCCGUGUAGCACGGAUUUCUUAACUAGUAUAUAUAUAUUUCUCUCCAUUUUAGGCCAGCUAAAUUACAGAAAAAUUCUAUAAAAAUAUUUUUGGAGGAUUAUGAUUUGAAUGGAGAGGAUGAAAUAAGCAAACUAUUCUUAUCUAUUCUAUAAGAAAAAUAAAUUAAUAUAUUUUUAUCGGGCUUUUUUUGCAAAUAGCCCCCUGAUAAUUUUUUUUUUAUAAAUUAGUCCUGUCAAAAAUUUAUUUACAAAAAUAGCCCUGAUCCUGCCACGCAAGCGCCACGUCAGCGCCACGCGGGCGGGGCUGGGGCCAGAUGUUUAAGUUGAACACGGUGAACCAUUCUCCGUGUUCAAAUACGGUGAAUGGUUUACCGUGUUCAAUAUAUCAUACACACCCAAGUCAGGGUGUGAAUAAUACAUUAGACACAGUGAUUAGUUCACCGUAUCUAAACACGAUGAACUAUUCACCGUGUAUUGGACACGGUGAACUAUUCACCAUGUCCAAUACAAAUACCCAACCAAAAAUGACUACGUGAGUUAUUUGUAUUGGACACGGUGAAUGGUUCACCGUGUCUAAACACGGUGAACAGUUCACCGUAUCCAAUACAACUAACCAGACUUAGCCAUUUUUUUGGCGUAAAAAAUCAAAUCAAUACACAUCACAACAUCGCCAUAUUUUUUGCGCAAAAAAUCAAAUCAAUGCACAUCACAACAUCACAACACAACAAUACAAUAUAGAUACCUAAACGCAACAGUACAUUACAACAUCACAGCAUCACAAUACAAUAGUACAAUAUACACAUCACUACCAAUAGAAUCUCAAUAAAGUAUCAAUACCAGAUAAUCACAACAGAAUAUCCAAAAUUAAAGCAAAUUUUACAAUAAUAUACAAAUAUAAUAUCAUGCUCUCCUCCUACUCCAUCGACCACGUCGCCUACCACGUUCGCGACCACGAUCAACACCAUGCUCAUCAAAAGGCUCUAAGAUCUCCAACUGGUCCAGAUGCUCGAUAGCAGCACCCUCAAUAACCGGCUCAAUCACAGCAGUAGCAGGUAUCGGUAGUAUAUCUGGCAGUGGAGGAGCUGAAGAGGAGGGCUGAUCUGUACGGUUAGACUGCAUAUGUCGUCAGCGCCUAUAAUAAACAAUAUCAACUACUCGAGAUGGAUCCUGUGGUACUGGUGCUGGUGUCGGAUCCAUAACAUCAGCAUAAGGUGGCUCCUCUAUCGGUGAUGAUGGCCUCGGUGGACUAUAUACUGGUGUAUGGCGGAACGUCGAUGCUCCACCAUAGUCUGUUGGUCGUGGAGGUACAGUGUGUGCAAGCGUAGGUAAAGUCUCCAAAAUUGCUUCCAUUUGAUCGGCAACAUGUGAUAGGACAUCUAAUACUCCACCUCCUGGAAUAUCUGAUAGGACACGUCUAAUACUCCACCUUCUGGAAUAUUUGGUACUCCACCUCCUGGAAUAUCUGAUGUAGAACUGCUUCUAUUGAUAAUCACUUCGUAUUGAUCAUCACCGCCAGUAAGUAUGUCGAACUCGUGAAAUUAUCGUCGAACUGUAUAUACUCUAGCACUUCUCAUCCGGCUAUUGAUGGUGUUUUCAACAGUCGAUACAAAUUGUGUAGACAUUACAGCGCCCUCCGCCCAAUGUUUUAGAAAAAAUUCUACCACUUGAUGAAAUGUUGCUAUCACAAAAACUGUAAUUGGUAAGGCGCGAACUUCCCUCAACACCCUAUUUAAACUUUCCAAUCGGUUAGUUGUCAUAAUACCAAAUCGUCGACCACCAUCAAAAGCUUUAGUCCAGUAUGGCCUAUCGUUAUGAAAAUUGUCAACCCAAAGCCAAGCUUCUUCAUCCAUAGCCUUCAAUUCUUCCUUUAAUGCAUAAUAUUGUCGUUCUUCUAAAGCAUUCCCAAUUCGAUAAAAUAUUUUAAGUAAGUGUUUUGCUUUAAAAUGAAUAUUCAUAUUGGCCUUCACAUGUCGCAAACACCAUCGAUGAGCAUGACCUUCAGAUGGUGGGAAUACAAGUGCAACGAGAUUCGCUAGCCCUUUAAAACGAUCUGAAAUUAAUGUAAUAACUCGAGAUCUUGUUAUACACCUUCUUAGGCAACUUAAAAAUCACUCCCAAUUCGAGCCAUUCUCCCCCUCACAAAUUGCGAAAGCUAGCGAAAAUAAACCACCAUUGGCAUCGACACCUGUGGCAAUUAAUGCGUGGCCUCCAUAUUUUCCAUACAAAUAGGUAGCAUCGAUACUAAGUAAUGACCGGCAAUACUCUCAACCAUGAAUCGACGGUCCAAAAGCCCAAAAGGCUUGUGAAAACAUUCUAGUAUUGCUCGUCACACUAAUAAAAUCAAUCGUCGUAAUAGUUCCAGGAUUUGUUGAUUCCAAUAUAGAGAAGUAUCGAGCAAGAUCGCAGUAUGAUUGCUCCCAACUACCGUAUAUAAUUUGUGCUUUAUUCUGUGCCCGCCAAGCCUUACUAUAUGAUAUGCUAAUGUGUAACUCACUCUGAACUCGAGCUUGAAUUUCCAUAGGACUCAUAGUAAGCCUUGCCUUCAGUGUAGGUAGUAUAAAUUGACAUAUGAAUGAUGAUGUACAGUUGCGAUGUCUUGUAUUCAGAAUUGGAAGCAAACAUGUGUGCGGACCUUUACAAGUCUUUACUUUAAAAAAUAAACUAUCUUUCGGUUGAGAGACAUGUAAUCACGUCGGACCGCAACCAAUUCUUUACGGCCACCAAUAUAUCGUGGUACAUUAUUGUUCUCGACAAAAUUUUUAUCCUAAUGGAUACAGAAAGGAACACAGUCGCCAGACAUAGAGUUCUAAAGUAAUAUAAUAAAAUGUACAAAAAUAUUAAACUCAAGACAUACCACAUUUCUAGCAUACAACAAAAGAAAGGGUAAGAGAUGGUAUUACCAUUGUACAAGCACGGUCGACGUGUCUACUUUGCAAAUUUAGAGCUAAGGACUGACCUGUGACAAAGACAACGAGAACAAUCAGUGAGAGAUAGAGAUAGAGAGAGAGAGAGAGAGAGAGAGAGAGAGAGAGAUUCUAUCUCGCUCUUUCCUCUUGCUCUCUCUCUCUGGCAGACGCCGACGCUGAUGGCGCGCCUCCGCCGACGCCGCCGCCUCCGCCGACGCCGCCGCCACUCUUUGUCGCCCGAGGUGUUUCCUCUCCCUCAUUCUCUCUCUAGCCCUAGAAGCCCCACCUCUCUCUCUUUCUCUUCUCUCCUCUCUCUCCUCUGGCCACACCCGCCGCCGGCGACACCGGCGCGCCCUCACCCGGCGAGAACACCCCCCCACCCCUCUUGCUCUUUCUAACUCUCUUUCUUCCUCUCACUCUCACUGUUGUCAAAAUUACUUAGGAUCAAUUAUAAAAUAAAAUAAGUUAAAUAGAGAAUAUCUUUUUAUAAAUACUCAUUUUUUCACUUUUCUUACCUUAUUUCAAAAAUUUUUAUCUUACCCCUUCCAAAUUUCAAGUUAAUGUAAUUAAUCAGCUCUUUUCCGUCAAGAUUUCAUCAUAUUCCAUCAGGAUUCUAUCACUUAAAAAUGAUAAAAAUGGGUUUUUUUUGCAAAUAGCUCCCUGCAAUUUUUUUUUUAAAUUAGCCCUGUCAAAAAUUUAUUUGCAAAAAUGGCCCUGACCCUGCCACGCAAGCAUCACGUCAACGCUAUGCGUGGGGCUGGGGCCAGGUGUUUAAGUUGAACACGGUGAACCAUUCACCGUGUUCAAACACGGUGAAUGAUUCACCAUGUCCAAUGUAUUACACACUGUGUAUUACAUUGGACACGGUAAAUGGUUCACCGUGUCUAAAUACGGUGAACCAAUCACUGAUNNNNNNNNNNNNNNNNNNNNNNNNNNNNNNNNNNNNNNNNNNNNNNNNNNNNNNNNNNNNNNNNNNNNNNNNNNNNNNNNNNNNNNNNNNNNNNNNNNNNNNNNNNNNNNNNNNNNNNNNNNNNNNNNNNNNNNNNNNNNNNNNNNNNNNNNNNNNNNNNNNNNNNNNNNNNNNNNNNNNNNNNNNNNNNNNNNNNNNNNNNNNNNNNNNNNNNNNNNNNNNNNNNNNNNNNNNNNNNNNNNNNNNNNNNNNNNNNNNNNNNNNNNNNNNNNNNNNNNNNNNNNNNNNNNNNNNNNNNNNNNNNNNNNNNNNNNNNNNNNNNNNNNNNNNNNNNNNNNNNNNNNNNNNNNNNNNNNNNNNNNNNNNNNNNNNNNNNNNNNNNNNNNNNNNNNNNNNNNNNNNNNNNNNNNNNNNNNNNNNNNNNNNNNNNNNNNNNNNNNNNNNNNNNNNNNNNNNNNNNNNNNNNNNNNNNNNNNNNNNNNNNNNNNNNNNNNNNNNNNNNNNNNNNNNNNNNNNNNNNNNNNNNNNNNNNNNNNNNNNNNNNNNNNNNNNNNNNNNNNNNNNNNNNNNNNNNNNNNNNNNNNNNNNNNNNNNNNNNNNNNNNNNNNNNNNNNNNNNNNNNNNNNNGAGAGAGAGUUGGGGAGAAGAGGAAGACAGCUCGGGGGCGGGGGGGGGGGUUAUUCAAAGAGGACACGGUGAACCAUUCACCUUGUCCAAUGUGUAUACCCGGGGUACUUAGUAUUUGUAUACUUAGCCAUUGUUUGGCUAAGUCCGAGGUACUUAGCCAUUGUUUGGCUAAGUCAAGUAUUUGUAUGUGACUGGACACAGUGACUGGUUUACCGUGUUUAGACACGGUGAACCAUUCACCGUGUCCAAUGUAAUACACAGUGUGUAAUACAUUGGACACGGUGAACUAUUCACUGUGUUUGAACACGUUGAAUGGUUCACCGUGUUCAACUUAAACACCUGGCCCCAACCCCGCCUGCAUGGCGUUGACGUGGCGCUUGCGUGGCAGGACUAGGGCCAUUUUUACAAAUAAAUUUUUGACAGUGUUAAUUUUUUUAAAAAAAUUUGUCAGGGGGCUAUUUGCAAAAAAAAACCCAUUUUUAUCAUUUUUAAGUGAUAGAAUCCCAACAGAAUAUUAUGAAAUCUUGACGGAAAAGAGCUGAUUAAUUACAUUAACUUGAAAUUUUGAAGGGGUAAGAUAUAAAUUUUUGAAAAUAAGGUAAGAAAAGUGAAAAAAUGAAUAUUUAUAAAAAGAUAUUCUCUAUUUUAACUUAUUUUAUUUUAUAAUUGAUCCUAAGUAAUUUUGACAACACUGACCAAAAGGUGACCAACGUAUUAGUGUACAUAAACACAAUAAUUUUUUGUGUUCAUGUAAAAUAUUUAGUCGACUCUCUGUUAUCCCGCGUGAUGCUCAUGUGGACAAUAUGAAAUUAUUUCUAUAUUAAAAAAUUUUGUAUGGUCAAACUAUACCUAUACAUUAUUCCUCCUAAAUUUGUCACGUGGCAAUGCUCUGUUAAUUAUUGAAUGUGGGCUCCACCCACGGCUGGCUCAUGUCCUUCACAUAUUUUUUUUCUUUGUUUGCUUGAAUCGAUUAGGGUUUCUUUCUUUACUUGAACCGAACUGAUCAUUGUUGAGUAUGGGCUCCACUUGUGCUCCACCACGAAUUGGCUUAAGUUCUCCACAUUUUUCUUUGUUUGAACCAAAUUGGAUUUUCCUCUUUGUUUGCUUAAACCAAAUCGGGUCAACCUGUUGCAUUAGGCCGAACCGGUCCAACUGUUCCACAUAUUACUAUCUUUGAACCGAAUUUUUUUCUUUCUUUGCUUGAACUGAAUCGAUCACUGUUGAGUGUGGCCUCCAUCCCGAACUAGCUCAAAUUUUUCUUUUUCUUUGCUUGAAUCAACUAGACUUUCCCUUUUUUUUUUUUUCCUGGAGCUAAAUCGGAUCACACCUCUACAUUGGGCUAAACUAUUCCUCUUUCCCUUCUUUCAGUUGUUAUCUUCUUUCAUCGGCAAGAUGAAUCUCACCCCUCACCAUCGUUUCUUCGAUCGCCAUUUCCUCUUCCUUUGUUAGUGUUUUCUAUUUUCCUCCAAUUAUCUACUUGUUGCAUCGCACGAGUCACCACACUAGUUAUAUAAUGAAAAUUUCAAUAGUACUAAAUACUAACAAAAAAUCAAAACAAAUUCCCUACAAACGUUUGUAACGUUCUAUGUACAAUUGAGUUUGGUCCCAAUCAUUGUUCAUUUUUUUUUUAUCUUGGUCUCGAAUCUUUUUUAUUCGCAAUUAGAUCCUUAAUUGUUACGCUUAAUAGUAUUAUUGGUUCCUAACCUUUACCGGCUUUUUUUUUUAUUUUGAUCACUAAUAAUCUUUUCUCUCAUAUGUGCAUCCAUCAGAUGAAAGUCUAAUCUUCGCAUUCUCAAUAUUGUCCUUUAUACCUACGAAAACUUUGAAACUGGCAGGCGAUACAAAACGUCUCAUUUUGGAAUCUCAUUUGAGAGUAAAGAUGCAUACGGGGUGGCCGGGAGCAAGAAGUGUCCUCCACCUCCUGCUCCAUUUCUUGUCUGGUCAGGGUAGAUUCGGAAUAGGUUGAUUUUUAUCCUUUUUUUUGAGAGUGAUAGGUAGCACACUACAUGUUUCGUUUAUUUCAUUUAGAAAUAAACUUAGCUGGAAAUGUGAAUCAACUAGGAUUCGAACUUGGGUCUCGGGUACCAACCACCAAGCCCUUUGCCACUUGCUCUAGGGACGGUCGGUAAUUUUUAUCAUAUUUUUAACCCCCACUUAAUACUCCAUUUGAGGCGGAUCGAAGCGGGAGCAGAUUUUUGAUGGAUCGGAAAGGAUCGAAGGAAGAAAAGGGUCACCAGCCUCCCGUUCUAUUUACUUGGCGCAUCAAGGCGGAUUUGGGACGAAUUACAUUUUUCUAUAUUUUUUGUUCCCACUUACCACCCAAUUCAGAGAGGAUUGGGGUGAAUUCACUUGCAUUCCUAUUUGGGAGGAAGUUUGCUAUGCAACAGCUACACUACAUAAUCUAAGUCCAGGCAAUCAUAUUCUCUUUUUGAGAGAAAAGUAUAAUAAAAAUAUUGUUUUCAAAAAUCAUGAUAGGAUGAGUAAAUCAUAAGAGACAAAUAUGAUUGGUUAGAGACACCACAUCAUCCACGUGGCUGCUAUAUUUUUAAACUUUUUCUUCUUUCGGAGCAUCUACCGUCUUAAUUUUGACCGCAAUGUGCCACCAAGCUCUGUCAAAUAUUCAAAAAAAAAAAAAAAAGUAAACUUCACUCAUGUUCAUUUUGUUAUCCUAUGAUUCAAAAGUUACACUUAACUAUUUUGCGGUUUAAUAUAUUUUCACUUUGUCACUCUGUGACUCAAAAUGUUACACUUAACUUUCUUAUGAUUUUACUUUUGUUUUAUUGUAAGGACAUAUCAUUAAAUUGGAUAUCAUUCUAUGGUUUUUUAAAAGAAAACUUUAUUUUACUGUUGUAUUUGACGGUAGGGUUUUUUUUCGGUGAAAUAAAAGUAAAUCACAAAAAUAUUUAUAAUUUUUUAAACUGUAGAGUGACAAAGUUAAAAUAUGCUAAAUCAUAGAAUUAAACCAAGCCAUUUACUACUGAUAAUUUUUUAAUAAGAGAGCGAGAGAGAAAGAAAUGCCACUUAUACAUUCAAAGUGGAGCAGAAAUCUAGCAUCUACCCAUCCAAGUGUUUAGACUUUAGACUAAUAUGAAAAUGCAAAAAAAGAAAAAAAAGAGAAAAAAAAAAGACUUUUUGAGCAAACAGAUAGCCAUUUAAAAAAAAAAGAAAAAGAAAAAGCAGCAGCUUAGAAAAUAAAGUGUUUAAGUGAAAAUUCAGUGGCCAAAAUAGCAAUAUGGGAAUAGUGCAUGGGUUAUCCAUACAUUUUACACACUGCAGAAAUUUCUAAAAUUAUGCAUAUUUUUUAAGAAUUGAGCUGGAAUACUAUUAAUGAUAUUUAGACUCUUUUGCUAUUGAAUUUGUAGUUUUUGGACGAAAAAUUAUAGAAGUAAAAUGAUAGUGGUCUUCUAGGACUUAGUUGUGGUUAGUUGAAUAGUAUGAUCUAAAGAAUGGAAUUGAUUAAAGUGUAAAUCUAACGGCUGAAAAAUCAAUAGCAAAAGAGUCCAAAUACUAUUAAUGGUAUUCCAGCUCAACUCUGUUUUCACUAAAUUAAUUAAUCUCACUGAUAGUAUGGUUUUCUCUGUACCUUCACUCUAUCUAAUCGAAUCUUUGAAAUAAGCUGCAUAAGAACCAAAAAUAAAUAAAUAAAAUAUUCAUAAGAAAAAGCAUCUUUCAUUCUCUAAGAACAGACUAGGAACCUAAAAAAUUGAGAAAAAAUGGUGGGUGAAAUAAGAAGUAUGGGUUGUUUUAGGUUUGAAGGCGAGAAUUUAUCGGCUCUCUUGUCUUAUUAUUUAGCUAGUAGUGACAAUUAUGAAAAAUUCUAACUUCGUACUUUGACUGCAAAAUAAAGUUGUUUAGUAAAUGAGAAAUGCUUGGGGUAGCCCAUUUUUGGAUAUCCUAUAAUGUUGCUGACGUGUUGGCAUACACAUGUGGAUGAAUUAAGGUUUAGGGUUUAGAGUGCAAUAGAGUAGCUAUUAACCUAUAAGAAUUUUCAAUAUUUUUGUCAUGCGGCAAGUUUUCCUUCACCCUCACUAACCCUUUCUUUGAACUGAUCUUUGCUCUUGGCUUUUCCCCUCCUCUCCUCUCUAUUCAAUGACCUGUAAUCAAUGUGCUUUUUAAUUUAUACGUUCCUGAUUUUUUUCUCUUCAAUAUUAGUCUUUUCUUCUCUCCCAAAUAAUUCUUGACCUACAAAAUUAAAAGAAGAGAAGAUGAAUAGUUACUACUUUCAGAUUUAGAGAUUGGGAAAGAGUAAGGGAGUCCUACAAGCCCUAAUCUGUACUAGCCCAACUCGACCCGACCGUCCCUGAUCAAGAGAGUGCUUCUAGGGUUUAGAUCAAUGUCGAUCUCUUCGGAUUUAUGGAAAAAAAAAAAAAAGGGUAAUCGAACGGCUUUUUCAGUAGAUGAAGGUAAUUGGAGAGUGAUAAUGUAUGGAUCGAGGGUAGGUUUGGGAAACAAAAACCCUAAAUCUUUUUUUUUCUUUAUUUUAAUCUCCAAUUCUUACUAUGUAUCCAUUUAGGAUUUAAUUAUUUACAUUAUUUUUUAUAUGGUGGUUGUAUCAAUCAAGGAUUUGAUUUAUGUGCAUUAUUUUGAUUAAUUUAGAGGUUAGUUUUGAUUUCAUAAUUGAUGUGGUAGUUUUGGCCCACAACUUCUGACCAUUCUAUGUCCAAAAAGGUGCAAAAUUCUGCAAACUUCCAUAAGGUUUUCACCGACAUCGUCGUCAUCAUUGCAACAUUAUCAUCUCCAUCUUUAUACGACCUUUGCAGGUUUUCCUUUUGACUGGUGAUUCUAGACAAUUAUCUGUUUUGAAUGGUCAUAUUACAUUUCAGUAAAAAAAAAAAAAAAAAAACACACUUGAAUUUUUAUUUUUCAAAAUCCUUUAAUCUUCUUCUUCAAUAUUUUCUAUUUUUUCUUCUAUUAUCUAUCCUCCGCAUCACGCGGGUUACUACACUAGUAAUAAUGAUAUUGUCAUGUCAUCAAUAGUAGCAGUGUAGGGUACACUUGGGAGUACCUACGGCAACACUCUUAGGCUUCAUUUGAUUCAGAUAUAAGUAAGAGCUUUUUUGCUAUCAAAAUUUUACCUUUUGGAUGAAAAAUUAUAGAAUUAAGAUGAUAGUGGUCCUCUAGGGUUUAGUGGUGGUUGGUUGAAUAGUAUGAUCGAAAUGAUGGAAUUGAUUAAAAUGUAGAUCUAACGGCUAAAAAAUUGAUAGCAAAAGAGUUCAAAUAUUAUUUAUUGUAUUCCAGCUCAACUCUGUUUUCACUAAAUUAAUUAAUCUCACUGAUAGUAUGGUUUUCUCUGUAACUUGAUUCUAUCUAAUCUAACCUUUGAAAUAAGCUGCAUUAGAACCAAAAAUAAAUAAAUAAAUAAAAUAUUCAUAAGGAAAAGCAUGUGUCAUUUUCUAAGAAUAGACUAGGAACCUAGGAAAUCGGGAAAAAAAUGAGGGUGAAAUAAGAAGUAUAGGUUGUCUUAGGCUUGAAGGCUAGAAUUCAUUGGCUCUCGUCUUAUCAGUAAUGAUAUUUAUGAGAAGUUCUAACUUUGCAAAAGAAAGUUGUUUAGUAAAUGAGAAAUGUUUGGGAUAGCCCAUUUCUGGAUAUCCGAUUAUGUCGCUGAUGUGUUGGUAUACACAUGUGAAUGAAUUAAGAUUUAGGGUUUAGAGUAUAAUAGAGUAUAAUGAUGAUAUUGUCGUGUCAUCAAUAGUAACAGUGUAGGGUAAACUUGGGAGGUCCUACAGCAACACUCUUAUGUUUCAUUUGAUUCGAAUAUAAGUAAGAGAUGCUUAUUUUAGAAAUAGGUACAAGUUCAGGUAUAAGCAAGAACUAAACUAAACUUUGAUAUUAAUAAAAAUUAGAUUAUUCUCGCGAAUAAGACAAAGAGCAUUUAGAUAGAUAAGUCAGAAUAAAAAAAAUAGUUAGUCAUAAAUAAAAAAAUAAUAAUAUUAUCCCUCUUUAUAUUUGAAUUUAAAUUUUUAAUAUUUGAUAUUUUUUAAAUUUAAAAUUUGAUAUCUAUAUUUUUUUAAAUUUAAAUUUUGAUAUUUUAUACCUGCUUUUCAAGUAAAUUAUGAAAAUAUACCGAACAAUAAAUUCGUGCAUCCAACAAAACCUCAAUGAAUAUGAUGAUGAUUUGCUUCUAUUAGUAUCUUAUCUAAAGAACAAGAUGUUUGCCUGACAGAAAAAAGGAUGAGAAGCCAGUUCAACAGCCAGAACCUGCUUGCCCGCGAAUAAACAGCAGGCGAGCGGAAACCGGUUUCGAAGAUCUGGCCAAAACAGUUUACUACAAAUCUUAGCAGGAAAAAGGAAAAUGAAAGAAAAGAUUGACACCCAUGACACUACCUUUGAAUCCUGCGGAGGAAGGAUCACUUUGCAGUUUUUAUUAAACAUGGAGGAUACAUUUACCCAAUCCAGUUUCGCAGUGAUAUCAUAUAUUUCAAUCUUACACAACGCAUAUACACGCAUAUAUACGGGUAUCUCAACGACUAGCUUUUCGCAUACAAAAACGCCUCGUGAACAUGAAUAAACACGCAGACAACACCGCCGACGAGAGAAUUUAGUAUAAAAGUGGGAGAAAGAGGAGACAUUACGCUUUCCUUCCGUUCCUUAGGCCUCUUAGCUCUUCGCGGCAAGUAUAGCCUCACGGACGAAAUCCUCGCACCGCGAGAAACCCCCGGAUAGCACGUCCCGGAGAACGCCCAUCACGUCGAACGCCUCCUGCAGAUCGGCAGCCGUGGUCAUGUCCUCGAGCCAGUCCAGCAUCUCCUUCGAGAACCCCACCAUCUCUUUCAUGUUCACCAUCCUCUCCUUCAUCACCACCUCCCACCUCUCCAAGCUGCCGCUGCCGCUGCUCCCCGCUUCUUCACCCGGAGCAGUGCUCGAUGAUGACGACGACGACGACGACGACGAAUUGCCAAGCUUGAAGAACUGCUGGAGCUGCUCGAUCAGGCCGGUGUAGACAAGAAUCGGCUGGACCAAGGCGAAGAGCUUCUUCGCGUCGGCGGAGUCGGCUGAGGGGCCGCCAUCGUCGGAUCGGCUGGUGGAGGCGGCGGCGGAAUCGGAGGGCGACCGAAGGGUUGAGGAGGAGCGGCCGCUGUGCUUGUGCUGCAUGAAGGCGUGGUAGAUACCACGCUGCAAGAAGGCGAGGCGGUGGGACGACCAGUCCUCAUAGGAAUCGGAGAGGAGGGAGUAGACCAUCAUGAACUGGACGGUCUCCUCGGAUGGGGGGCGAGCGGGGCCGGGUAGGGACGAUGAGGGGGACCGGCCGGGGGAGUCGGAGCUGGAGGUGGUAGAGGACGGUGAUGAUGAUGGGGAGUUAUUAUUGGACGACGACGACGACGACAGGUAGGAGGCGACCGACUUGGCCAUGGCACGGCGCUGCUGCUGGUUGGAGCUGCCCUGGUUGACGAGAUACGAAGCCAUUUGAAUCAUGAAAGGGAGGAAGCGUGAGUUGCUCUCCCUGCCCCCGCCUUUGCUGUCCGUGCUGAAUGAAGCGCCCGUGGCAAACCGAGCCAGCAUCUGCAGAAGCAAAGCAGCAUGUAGAGAAUAAGUUACAUUGGAAUCGAAAUUACUGAUUUUAUUUCUAAUACUACUCCACGGGAUGCGCACUAAGAAACUAGCAUGGUCGCGAAACAAAGGCAUAACAGGCCAAACCCCGAAAUGGAAAUCCUGCGACACCGAAAAUAAGCUAACAUGAUUAAGAAAAAUUAACACUAGUCAUCUUGAAUGUGUAAUAAGCAAAAUCGGCAUAAGAGGCCAAACCCAAUUAUCAUCAUUGCACCUAAGCCUUAUGACUGCUUUUUUUAUUCUAACUGCGAUAAGGGAUUUUAUAGGAACAUGAAUAUUGAGUGCCAGUGUACAAAAAAUAUAUUAGAGACAAAAUAAGGAGAAACUUAAGCGUAAUUAGAAUAAAAGGAUAUAACAAUAAAAGAAAAAAAAAGGGUAAACUUCAAUUUGCCACCCUGUGGUUCAAAAAGUCGCACUUAACUACCCUGUGGUUUAGCACAUCUUCAUUUUACCACCUUGUGCUAAAAAAUUUACACUAAAUUAUCCUGUUCUUAUCAAAAAAAAAUUUUACUUUGCUACUCUAUUUGAUAGUAGAUUUUUUCGAUAAAAAUAAGAAAGUUGCAAUUAACUACCCCGAGGUUUUAUUUAUAUUUUUAUCGAAAAAAUCUACUAUCAAAUAGGGUGGCAAAGUGAAAAUGAGCUAAACCAUAGGAGGGCAAAUUGAAGUUUUCCCAAGAAUAAAAGAACAAAAUAUGCAGGAUCAGCUAAAGGAUUUUCUAAAUUUGUCAUACCAGAACGAUGUCAUAUGUCACCAACCGCAGCCGGCUACCAUCCGCGCGUCCUAGGGUGUUGAGGUGUUCCCAGUACUGAUCAACACACCGAGCAUACUGCGCAAGCGGAACCGAUGGUCCCCUUAAAGGGAAUAUACAAUUACACAAGGUCUCAUUAUUCCUCAGCGUAGCCCCUUCCCAUUCCUUCUUAGGGUUUUUCAAUGCAGCAUCGGCCCGCUUGGCCUCCUGAUGGCACUGGAAGUGGAUGAUGUUGAAAUGGCUGACGGUGGUGUAAACACAGUCGCCACGGCCGCCGCUUGCCGUGUUUGUGGGACCCAAGUUGACCCGCUUGCUGAAAGAGUAGACGCCCAGCAUGUCGUUGGGCCUCAGAGUGUAUCCCUCCCGGCACACCAUGCACGCGAGCCCAUCCUCUUCUUCCUCUACGUCGUCCAAGCCUUCAAUAGCCGGCUUGGAAACAACAAUUCGCUUGCCCCCAUCCAAUGAAAACUCCUGUCGCAUUCCAAGCCCCUAUAGAGAGUAAAGAAGAGAGAGAAGGAAUCAUUCCAUGCACUUGUAACAAUUUCAAAAGAUCACAUUGCACUCACACAUAGAGCGCCCUAUACAUUUACUGAAUCUUUCCGCCUCCACAACUCGUCUAAAAUUUUGAAGUAAAUAGAAGAUAUAACAAUAGGAAUCAAAACAGGAAAAGCCAUUAACAGCUAAAAUAGAAGAUUGUUCUCGCAUGUUUGUAAAUAGGUUCAUCUUCUUUAAUUAUCGAGAAAACUAGUAAUUCUUUUGCAACCAUACACAACAGUUAGCAAUAGAAUUAUGUAAUUUUAUCAAAUAGGACGCCGCUGGUAUGGAACCUUAUGCGAGGCCAGAAUCAAAAGAUUUACCUGAAGUAGCAUUUCUCUAUUCUUAAGGGCCAUUCUGCGCAUCUCGUCCCUUGUAGCAUGUCGCAGUUCUCUUAUCUUCUGCCCCAAGAAGCCAUCACCGUUAUUUUCUUUGUUUGCCAGCGUGUCCAACAAGUUCUCCGCUCGUGUGCCAAUCUCAUUUUCACCAGAUACCCCCUCUAAAGCAUGAAGCAGGGGCAAAACUCCCUCCUCAUCGAUACACCUCUGAGUAGGCAAAUGACCCUUUGAUAGUCCCCUCAACAUUGACAGAAUCAGUGGAACCGACGGCAACUUUAAGCCAAAAGUCCAUUCAGAACUUGUUUUAUACCCAGCCUGGCCCGCAACUGCGAAGCUUUCUUUUAAGUGGGUGAUGGCCGCUUUCACGAUGCCCCUCUCUAGAAUAAUGUCCUUGAGGCUCUCCCCACAUGAACUCGUCUUCAGUGACUCUGAAACCCUAACAAAAUUUUCCAAAGCAGAUCUCUGCUUUGCUGCUUGCUGAGCCAAGCUCUCGUCUUUGGGAUUAUCCUGGUGCUUCUUCUGCAACUCGUCAAAUUCACCCCAGGCUUGAAGGUACGGCUCAAAAUGCUGUAUAAGUGCUUCCAUAGCAACUGGUUGCCCAUAGGUCAAGUAGGGCAAAAUCCUCGCAACCAUCUCAUCGUUCCGCUGCUGCUUAUUUGACUUCUUCGCAGAUAAAGGAUGGCAUAGCCUUUCUAAAAACAUGAGGACAAUUUUCUUAGCCUGUUCACCAGCUGCCCCACUUUCCUCAUUAGAAACUGUGAAGACACUUUGAGUACUGCUGAUGUCACUCUCAUUAGCUUCCAAAGUGAGGCUUUCUACGAUCAAGAGAAUGCCUUCAGCAGGUUCCAUGGCGUCUACUGAGAAAGCACGCCGUGCAGUGUCAAGUAGCAGCCCUAGAGCACCUAAUCGUAGUAAGGCUUGUCUAUUUUCUCGUAUCUUGCAGCAGUACAUUAGAAGGUUGAGCACAGAAUUCAGCUCUUCCUGGUUCGAUCUUAGAUCGUCAUCACGGAGACGCUGCAAAGCAAUUAAGAGAAUGGAAAAAAAAAAAAAAAAAAAAAAAAAAAAAAAAAAAAAAAAAAAAAAAAACUAGGUUUAAAAAAACUGGCAGUCACUGCGAACUCAAUCUUGGCUUGGAUUAUCAACCGCAAGAAUUCAGCAAUAAAUAUCAAAAAAAAAAAGAAAGAAAAACUUUACAUAUUUCAAUCUCAACAGAAGUAAUGUACCUGGAUCAUACUCAUAAUAGUUUCAAGACCUUCACAUUCCCUGACAACACCAGCUAUUGCAAACUCAACUUCAGGGUCUUGUGAUUCUUCCCUUUCCUCUUCAAGCUCUUUUAUCAUAGGCUCUGUGGCUUCACCAUCUAAACCCUGCCAACAAAUAAGAAAAUUUUCCUACCAUAAACGUUAUUUUUAAACCACAUGACAAAUUCAGCAAGCUAAUCAAACCACAAGAAUGAGCAUCGCAUUCAGAAGUCAACACCAGAAAAUCCUUAUUUAAACAAAAAUGUGGUUAUUAAUUUCUAAUGACAAGAGGAAAUUGAUGUGUCAUAACAAUUUGCUUGUGACUUUGUUACACAUAGGGGGCGUUUAGAUUGAUGAAUCUGUAGAUCCAACGUAACUCAAGUGUAGUGGUGUUUGAGUUUUUCUGAAGUGUGAUUAUUUUUUUAUUGUUUGUUUUGACGUAACUCGUACAGUUUAAGAAAUUAAUUUUUUAAAUUCCAUUGUUUGUUUUGAUGUAAGUGGAUUCCGUUAUCUUCUGAAUAUAGUGGUAAACUUACCGCUAUAAAAAAAUAAUUAAAAUUUUCAUUAUUAUUUAAAGGUAAUCCUAAUUUAUUAUAAAUAAGGUAAUUCUAACCCAUUAUAAAGUAGAGUUUAGGUUUUACUAUUUAAUAACUUUUUUCGAGAAAGUUGAGUGUGGCGGAAGUCGAGUUCGGCAUUUUAGAGGGGGAAGACAAGAGUAGGUGAAGUGGAGGUCUAACGUAACUUGAGUUACACUAUAUUUUUGACUUACACCAAAACAAAUACCGGAAGUAAUGGAACUUGAGUUCCACCCCUCCACUUACACCAAAACAAACAGCCCCCAUACUGAAGCAUGUACGAUUCUUAUCAAACUAAAUCAACUUCUCCACUAGAUGAAUCAAGUUGCCAGAAGUUUUCUAUAAAGCAAAGACACAGGAAGUAGAGAUCUGAAUCUGAUAACAAACCUGAAGACGAUAGGUUACUGUCAUUGGUGGGCACUCUCUAGCUGAUGGCAACCCAGCAGAAGACAAAACGGCAGAAGUUGGCAAAGAACUCUGAGUUUGACUGUGAUAUUUCUUCCAGACUUGCUCAUAAACUUGAGAGAUGCUAAGGUCAAGAGAAAUUAUGUUACCACCAACUAAUAGUUCCAUACCGUAGUCAUCUUCCAACAGUCCUACUAAGUCCAGCUGGUUACAAAUUUUAUUUUUCACAUCUCUCAUCAGCGGGCCGAUCUCAGCACUGGAGUACGGAUUCUUUGUCAUGGAACCCCUGAUAAACUCUUCCUGAGUGUGUGCUUUGUUAAGAAUCAGAAGAUAUACAGGUUCUGGCUUUGUUGGACAGAUCAUAUUGCAAAGUUGUUCCAAGAUAAACUGCAGAGCAUUUAGAUGAUAAGUAAAGAAUCAGUUUCUUCUGGCAAUGUAGUAAGAUAAAUUUUAGGUUUACUUAAUUAAUAUAAGCAUUAUAAUUCAACUAAAAAAAUCAACAAUUCAUACCAGUGAAGACCUUCCCUUUUUCUCCUUUGCAUGAUUCUGCAAACUUGAUAUACAAGCACGAAUAAAUUGACGUUUGUUUGCAGUGCUCUCCUGCAGAAGACUGUCCAGAAGGUCUUUUAAGAGACGAUUGCAGUCACUUAUUAGUUUCGUCUUCUGCACUAUAAGACCUCGAAUGACAAGAAAAGCCUCUAGUACUUCAGACAGCAACUCAUCCUGCAUAAACCUGUCGCCAGUAACAAGAAAACUUAAGUAUCAUGGCCCUCUUAAAAAAAAGAAAGAAAAGUUACCAACAAGGUGACAAUUCUAAAAAGCAAAUAAGAUUUACCUGGCUCUGAUGUUCGGUAUCUCAAGAAACUUGUUGAGGAGCUCAAUCAGCUUGUGAAGUAUUAAUCCCUGAGAUAUGUCAAUACUAAGGCUUCUCUCUUGAGACUCCACAUUAGCUACCUCUUGUUUUAUCAACCUACAAAUGGUUUUCAGGCAUCCCCUUACAGUUAAGAAAAGCCGUGCAGCUUCAGAUUCAAUCAUCUUAAAAAGUAGCUCAAAAUAUUCUGUUGCACUCUCACCAACCGAUAGAGUUGCAGGAAGCAACGAUGUGAGUAAGUUUAACAACUGGAACCCUCUAGAAGAACUCAGUGGACAUAACAAUGCAAUAAGAUUGCACACUUCAGAUCUAAUAGAUUGCGAGCAAGCACUCAAAAUCAACUCCGAUACCCAAGAUCCCAAAGCAAAUGUUGAGAAGUCAUUCUUAGCCGUUCUUCUACAAGCACGGCGUUUCCAUUUCAGACCAUAUUUCAGUGCCAGAUAAUCAAACUUCUGUGGAUCUUGUCGCGACUUCUGUGCAGUAGCUUUCACCACCUGCGAGACUUUAUACUGCCUCCGGACAAAAUCAAGAUAAGAUGCGCCUCUUUCCCACUCAGAAUAGCUUAAUAGAGGGAUAUCCUGACUCAUUUGACUGCCUUCCAAGCUCUUUUCUGAUAACUCAGAUGGAGACCUAUUACCAUUUAGAAGGCUGGUAGAAGUAGCAGAUUGGUUUGAACUACUGUCGUUUUUCGGUUGCAAAAGUGAAGUAGAUUUUCCUGUAGCGUUUUCUUUGUCAUUUGCAUCAGAUCUGGGAGGAGUACAUGCCUGAGAUAUGAUUCUCAAACAAGGAAGAAUGAUAUGCUCAGAGAUUGCAGGAUGUUUUGCUCCAACUUUAAUGGAAGAGAACAUGAGCUGAAAAGCAACCCGAAGCCUCGAUUCCCAGAGUUCAUCUACAACAGCACAAGUCUCUGAGAGUAGCAAUAGCUCUUCUCUUGUUGCCAAUGCAAUGUCCAUGGAACGAUGGUGCUCAAGGCAAUACAUGACCUUCUUCUGUAUCAACCUGUUCAGCUCUCCAACUGCCUCUGCAUCCCCCUCACAGAAAGCAGAAAGGACUGCCCUAGCCAGAACACGUGAUGUUUUGGGUCCCUGAUGAAGGUUGUUCUCAAACAGUUCUGAUAAAAUUCCAGCAGAAACAAGUUGUUUUUUGCAGUUUGGAUGUUUUGAAAGCACUUGUAACAGCUCCAGACACUGCGUAACAAAUGUAGUAGCACAACCAUAGCAGUUGCUUGGUGAUCUUGGAAUCGCAAAAGUUGAUAAAGCCACUGAGUCAUCUGAAUUUUUCUGAUGUAGAUAAGCCAUCAGCACGCGCCUAAGUCCUUGCAAUGUCUGGACACUUUUACUCACAGAAUCAAAAGCCGCCUUGCAUUUUUCACCAUACAAUACACCAAGGAGAGCGAUUUUCCUGUUUACCUUGCAUGAAGGCCCAGGCAAAGAAACCAUCAUCUGUUGCACUGUAUCUUUCUGUUGUGAAUCGAUCUCUUGUUCGCCUAUGCUUGAAACGAGCUUAAGCAGAGGUUUCUUGAAUCCCAGAAGUUGCUGGUAUCUCCUAUGAGCAUUUUCAGAUUCAGACUCAAUAGCUGCCAAUCCUUUUCUCAUGUCCUCAUCAUUUUCCAUGUUAUCAAAGGAGAAGCUAGGUUUUGCCAUGAAAUUGAACUCAAAACGGCCAUAUUUGCUGUAUCCACACUCGUUGCAAAGGAAAGAAUCCAGAUUUUCGUAAUUGAUAUUCCUACAUUGCCUGCACUGGUAUGCAUUUUCGUGGCAGUUGCCACAGAUACCGUGCUUAUCGGUAACAGACCUGCUACACCGGGGGCACUGCAAUGACUCAAGAGAAGAGGCUUGUAGAUUCUCAUAGAAAGAAUCAAGUUCAAUCAUGAAAUUGCAUGCAGUAAUUGGAAUGGGGAAUUCCACCUUCAGUUCUGUCUGAUUAAAAGCAAGAUGGCAGCUCUUUGCUCGCUUCCACAGAGACCAAUUGUUCUUCAGCUCCGACAGGUCAGAUACGGGCCUGUUGUUAUAGUAAAGGUUUAAAAUUUUUACGGAUUUUGACUUGCGAGCAUCAUGAACGUUCAUCGUCACCGACUGAAUAGUGUAGCUUCCUGUACAUUUCACAAUUAUCCUGUUGUCAGUGAACUUGGUCUCAGAUUUAAGACUUUCAAGCUUAAUCCUGGCAUAAGGCACAUCAGGGCAGCUACAAGUUACACAAGGUUCGCUUUCAAGAUAGUAACCAUCAAAUUCUACCAAACUAUUUAGUGUGUUGUAUAUACGGGAGUUGGGAUGAUUUGCCAAAAGAUCAUUCUGCGAAUGAAGAGUUUCAAAUAUGCAGCUUAUCACAUCAGAUGUCAGGCAUUUGCUCACAAGUUCUUUCUCAUGAUGCUUUAUGCUACUAUCAGCCAUCUUCCCCAGGAGCCAGGUCAUGAGCUCAGUGUACUCUACGAUGUUUUGGCCAUACAUCGGUAGAGAUUUCACCUUUUGGAAUAGAGUAGUUAAAACUGCUUCCCUAAACGAGCUUUUUCCAUGAUGCCAAACACCAUACAAGACACACUUAGCUUCAUGGCGCACACUUGCUGAGUUCCAUUCCAGCAAGAAGGAAUCAAUAAAACGCCUCAAAAUUGUACCAUCCUUAUCAAUGAACAUUUCUACUGCUUGCUCCAUAUCCACACAAGAUUUUUCUGAACCACUUUCACCGCCAUCCUCACCCUUUCUUUUCUUUUUUGAGUCAGAGGAUUGAGACCCAGUUCUGUUCGAAUAACCUCCUGCAUCUCCACCUUCUGAUUUCUGUGUCCCAUGGCUCACUUCCUUACCAGUAUGAAAGGCCAAGUUCAAGAGCUUAAGUGUUUGAACAACAGAUUCCUCACCAAAAUAAAACAUACCAUUCAUCAAGAAGGGCAGAAGAUCCAUGUUCUUCAAGCAAAACUUCUGCCAAUUUCUUGGUCUCGCUCCAGCCACUUCACAGAUAGCAGACAAGGACUUCACGAGUUUAACACUUCUCUCAUACGGUACAGGAUUCCGGAAGCCUCCGGACUUGUUCACAAGUUUAUGUAGCUUCCUAAUUUCAUAAGAGAACUGCCACGAAUCUCUAACACUGUAGUAAUGAGUCUUGCUACCACACAAGUGAAGGAAAAGCCUUCUGGCGUAUCUCCGCACAAAUGUCGUAAGUGGAUUACUGAUAUAGCUACAAAGAACAUCCUGAAAUCCAUCCAGUUUCAAAUCCUUAGCUACCAAUGACUUGUACAUUUUAUCUUUGUCCCCUGACUUGUCCUGUUUUUCUGGUCGAACCAUGCUAUAAACAAGACGGAAAGUGUUCUCUAGCAAUAGUUUGUGGUAGUCUGUAAACAAAUCAGCCCGGUGAGCUUUAGCAUAAGAAUCUGAGAAGAAGGGCGAGAAGUUUCCAGCAGGAAGUUCCCUCCGAACUGUCAGAAGUGACCCACAGCCAGAACCAGCCGACGAGCCACUUUCAGAAUUAGAUGAGGACGAUUUGAAGAUGGGUACCAGUUGCUGUAAUAUAUCCAUCAAGUAAUUAAGGAAAGCCUGUUGCCUGAGGAAGGAACAAGCACGGACCAACUGAGAAGCAAACUCAUUCUUUUCUGGCUCAUCACUGGAGGAUGGAACAGCUGAAGAUGAUGAUGAUGAUAGUGGAGCCUGAACAAAACCCUUAUCCUGUAAAUCUGAAGAGCCACCUGACUUCGGCUGAGAAACGUCACCGCCAGGAUGGUGCCAGUUACGAAACAUUAGGGUAAAGAACAUGAAGACAAGGAUAGCAACUUCCCCAAAGUAACAACGGGUUUUAGCAGGAAACGGUUUGUUGACGUUAAUCUCAUCCAAUAGCCACUUGACGAAUUUUUCCAUAUCCAGAUUCUCGGGUUUCGAGCUAUCCAUGAAAGGCCCACCAACUGCAGACGAUAGACGAUAGAACAGCUGCAUAAUAGGAAUAGCUCGAAUACCAGCUGUAAUUUCCAUCCAUCCAUUAAGGUCUUCAAUUAACUGAUGCAGCAACAGAGAGUUAACAGCACGCUUGGAUGCAGAAAUUGAGACUAUUCUUUGGUCGGUCACAGAUGAAGGGAAGUCCCCUGCUUCAUUAGUCUCCAAAACAUGAAUUGAGGAUGGGGAAUUCUGCAUAUUUCUAUCGGCAGCUACAUGCAUUACACUUGGAUCACUGAGCUCAUCCAUAGGGAAAUGUAUUUCAUUGCUGCUUUCACCACCGAGCGAAUCGAUUUCUAUUGGAAUUGCUGACAUGGGAUGAUCUCUGGAAUGGGGGGGUGGAAGACGGUCUGCAUCGAGUGCUCUAUAGCAUGCUUCACACAGAUCAAAGUCUGGGCAUACAUUGCAAUGCCAUCUUUGCCUGAGUAUGGGAACAGUGGAGCAACCAUCGCAACAGUAUUGUACUGAUGAUGUUGCAUGGUCUUCUUCAAUCAUGACCUGUGUAUUUCCACCAGUUGGAUUUUCAGAAAGAACGUGUGCUACUGUGCGAUUUUCUACGGCAUCAUCAGUAGGUAUCAUUGUCUGCUUUGGGAAAGGGACUUGAAGCAAUCUAGAUGAUAUGGCCAAACUGAAAUAUCAAAAGAAAACAUAAUAAGGAUUUAUACAAGACAACUGAUGAUAGCGAGGAAUAGUUUAAUGGAAUACCUGCUGGAUGUCUGAACUGCUUCAUAUGGUGCAAAAAGUAGCUUCUUAAGUAAAGCAACAGCAGGAGCAACAGAGAGUCCAUAUGCAUCAUUUGCAUGUAGAGCAAGGCAUUCAGCAUAACUGUAGAUAAGUUCCACAGAUGGUAUCACUAUGCUGUUUAUUGUUUGUGUUUCUGGUCUCUCUAGGUCGAGAAUUCCCCAUAAAAUUUGCAUCAAUCCAUCAACCACCUCCGACCCUGCAACCAAUUGUGCAAAAUGAGUUUCCUUUAUUCAGAUAAAACAGAUAAAUUAACAAAUCCCUUCGAGUAAAUAAAUAGAGCUUGAUCCAAUAGGAAGAGAAAAUAGAAAAUAACAUGUUGCAAAAGAGAUAAUUAUGAUUAUACGCCCAAAGGUGGUUGAAAGCGAACGAGUAGCGAGGAAACAACAAAUAAGAUUAAAGAUUAAAAUAAAAUCGGUACAUGUGAAAUAAGUUAAUUAACAUGCGAAGUCAGUAAAUUUACUGAUGAAACACAAUCAUGUUAUGGUGACGAUUAGCAAGCGAAAGAAUGUAUAUGAUUAUCUUAGAAAGAAUUGCUACACAGAGUGUUGCUAAAUACUGAUAAUAGCAACAGGUCUGCUUGAAAAUUUUCACAAAAUAAAUUAGACUCCAACCAAGAAUUCUGAAAUAAAUGUUGUCUAGAAAACUUCAUUAUAAAUUCCACAUUGGACGCACAUGAAUCAAAUUAUUCACAUGCAAAUAAAUGGGAUUAAAAGUACCGUGAGUCUCAAGAAAAGUAGCCAUAUUUGCUCUCCGAUGCAAAGCAAUUUUUGACACUGCAUGCAUUUGUGCCGUAAACUCUUUGAUCACCCAGCCAGAUGCAGCACCCCCAACUCCUAUUCUUGAAAUGAGCAUAGGAAAAGACUUUAUGACACCUAAGAGGCGCAUGGUGUCUUUUACCUGCAAAAAGUAUAAAAAGUUGAGACUGGGAUGUAAAACCAUAAAAGAAAAGGAAGAAAAACUAAUUAAAAAUAACAAUGUCUACAUGAUAGUAUAUCUCUCUCUUGGGAAAUACAGCCCGAAGAACAUGACAAGCAGCAGACUGCAGUAGAGGUUCUCUGUCGCUUUGAAAAACAGUUUCCAACAGCGUCCUGCAUUUCAGCCUCCUAACCUCUGAAUCCACAUCAACAACUUCAGUAGACUGAUUUGACCGACAUAACAUGUAAAUCCUCGAGAGGAACUUCAGAGCGUCCGCCAAAACCUGCUCCUGGAUAGGAGCAGCAUGCAUCAUCUGAUACCUUUUCCCCAACCUCCCUGCACCAGAACUGGUGCCAAGCACAUGUGCUUCCAUAUCCAGCACAGCGUCCAUUUUCUCUUUCCACCCAAAUUCAUCCUUAGCUCGGCCAUAAACUUCAAGCGAGUCUAUUCUAGGGUUUGCCGAACCAUCAAGAGUUCGGCCUAUUGUAAUUGUGAACUCUUCAUCAGCUAGAAGAGAUUCGGCAGUCGUAAAUGGAAUGUCAUACCAUGAUCGCAUGCCUUCAUCCAGCUUGACUGCUCUCUGGAAAAUUGUGACCUCGGAGGGAAUAUGGAUGGCUGAUCCAUUACCCACAUGUAUACGGCAACCGACCAUGACGAUAUCAGGGUUGGAAUUUGAUACAGUUACCUAAAAUCAUGGAAUCAUUAAGAUUGGUCAUCAAUUAUACAAAAGUCAAAGUACAAAAUUUGGAGUGCAAAACCAAUUUACAUGGACUUGAGUGGCAUUUGAAGAGCAUAUCGAAUGAACAUAGAAAAUUCCAAGGAAAAACGUUAGACGAGGAGAGAAACUAUACCUUAAAUCCAGCAGGAGUGGGACUCUCCAGGAAUCCAUCAUCUGAUGCUAACUUUUGCUUGAUACUGUCAGAAUCACCACUCCUGAUAGCAUCACUGCUCAGUUUCACAUCUGGUGUGAUGCACAUAGUUUUCUCAAAAAAGUCAAGCGGAAAUUCAGGGUUUGAGCCAGCGUAUGCUCUACUGCUAAGAAUGCUGGAGCCUAGCUUCUUUGUCUGUUCCACACUCAUACCUGCUGCCGUAUCACCUCCUAUGGGUGUGUAAGAAUAGAUCUGAAGGCUCCCAUCAUCAUGUAAAACAAGACAGUGGAUCUUAUCUUUGGAUAAAGGUUUAUAGGCAGCAACACCAACCAUAGGGGUAGUUGAGACUGAACCAUAUCUCAUAUUCUGUGCAGCUAAUUCAUGAAGACCGAGAGAUACAGCAAGUGGAGAGUUCGAUUUAAGACUUGAUAAAGAAACAAAAAUACCACUUCCAACAACCAGCUCUUUCCAAUGAUGCAGCCCAGCAGGCCUAACUUUACCAUCUUGAUCUUCCUCGUAAACAUAGGAUGAUUCUGUAAGGGAUGUCGCAUUAGCAUCUAAACGCCCCAUUAGGGUUGUAUUAUCUUGAUAGGCCAAGAAGAGCAGCCUGUACGUUGAUGAGAAGUAUAACGACAGCCCUUUCUGCUGCACUUCUGCUGCAUCUUUGACCUUGAUGGUUUCAGUCAAUGUUUUAGCACCAACAUCACCUUCCAUAGAAACCUCCAACCUAAAUAAACACCCAGUUUCUGAGAGAACAAGAAGGAAUACUUUUCCCAUGGAAGCUGGAACGAGAGUGGCAUCAACAAUUAAAUCAUCAGCCAAAUUGAAGUAGUGCAUGGGACUAAUGUUGUCCUGCGAAAGGUCAUAUAUCUUAACAAACAUGUUUGUCACCACCAUUAGCUGAACCUGAGAACCCGGCACCCAUUCAACCCGACGAAUAUAGGCACCUUGCAAAGCAAGUUCAAUGGCGAGGCGAUCAGUAACUUCACCUCGAGAAUUCAAAGUAAGCACUUGGCAAUCUUCAUAUCCAGCUACAGCAAGAUAGUUUUCUACCAAAGGAUUGAAAAGUAGGUGAAUGAUUUCAAACCGCACAAUGUUUCUAGAUAGUGGUUUCACAUUUGUCUUGUCAGCUGUGACAGGGGCAACAGUAGGCUGUCCAAUCAGUUGUCCAACAUCAAAUAUAGCGACCUUGUCUCCUUCUCCAGCAGCAAGCCUACCUCGAACACUGACACUGAGGAGCGACUUGGUCAAAGACCCGCUAACUAAAUGAGAUUUAAGUUCCCUCGAAUUUGGAUAAUCUGCCUUUAUCUUCAAGUCCAGUGAUCCACUUUUAUAAGCCUUCUUCAGUUGGAACAUAUCAGCAUUGUGCGAGACCAUUUUAUCACCUCCCAAUAUUACCUUCUUGUCUUUUGAAAGGUUUAGCUCCCUCUGGGCGAUCACGGUGGGAAGCAACUUAUUGCAGAGUUCAAGCAGCCGGCCUUCAAUAUUGAGGUUUUCAAUUAUAACAGGCAGUCGAUCAUGCAGCUCUAGUGGUAUCGAUAAGUUAAAGCAAUUAUCCACAUCACCACUCAUGUUAUCAUCCAAAUCUGAGUCGCUAUCUGCCGCCUGAUCGGCAUCUUCAGAAUAAGGCAAAAGGGGCUGAAAAUUACUUGUAGCAGGAGCAGAUAAGCUGGAAGGGCCAGUAAACUUUCGAGGCUUCAAACACUGGCAACUGCUUCCUCGAACACCCCCGGCCCCACAAUCACAGAAAAACCGACUCGAUCGAGAGUACACAACACGGUGUCCUCGGUGGCAGACUUUAGCACAGAUCGAACAACAGCCCUUUGAAACAGUUAAGUCACAUGUAUAACAGAAAUACCAAUGUUGCUCCAUAAAGUUGCUGCCGCUGGACGUGAAAGUGCAUACUUUAGAAGCUAGUGCUCUUUCACUGUUACUGUCCUCCUCAUCAUCCCUAUCAAUACUGCCCAGUUCCCCAUCAGAUGUCCCAUCAUCUUCAUCUUCAUCAGCAGAUGUUGCAUCACAGUCAGCUGAGGCAGAGCCCCUCUCUUGAUUUGCUGUAAGAAGCAAAUUUUCUGUGUUUUUUCUUGAACUGACUUGUUUAGGAACUACAGAUCCCAAACUAGAACUAUCACUUAAAGACUGUUUCAAUGAAUGCUUAUCUGAAGAACUUUUGUUAGAUCUAUAGUCAUUCAUUACAGCAUCAAGAAAACCAAACAGGAACUUCAACGCAGGAAGCGAGCCCUCGCUGUCGACCAGCUUCUGCACUAACAUUACAGUACUUUCUAAAAGCUGCUUCAUAAAAGGCUCCCCACUCAACAGCUGAACUAAAAAAUUGAAAUAAGCUUUUCCAGUAAGAAGAUCAUAGUGCAGAAAUGCGCGAUCAAGCAAUAUGAGCAUUGCUUCAACAAGUCUACUCAGCAGUUCUCUGGUGAAAGUAUCACCUGAUGGAUAUACAAGGCGCAUAAUAAAUUCCAUUGUUGCUUCUCUGAGUACGGGGGAACCUGCUGUAACAGCAACACUUCCCAAAUUCUUUGAGCAACCUAAGAGCCUAAAUUCCAACCAAUGUGACAAGCGUGACAAUUCCAUUUCAAGAAACUUCUUAUGUAGUUUCUCCUUGAGACUAGGACAAAGUCCAUCAGCUAAGAGACCAGUAAAUAAAUUCAGAACCUUCAGGUUAAUCGGCUCAGAGUGGCAUUUAUCCAAUGCGUCAAAGAGAACCGAUAAAUUAGCAUGAUAUCCUCCAAAAAAUACCUUGAACUCUUCAGGCACACCUUCAUCAGAACCAAGAUAGUAUUUAGAAAUCUCCAUUCCCGAAUUGUCUCUUCUCAGAUCAUCAAUAAGAUCAACAAUACUAGCAACGAGUGCUUCUUGCAUGACAGUGUCGAUAUCAUCUUUGAAACUAAUGUUUGCCAAAAAACCUUCCAAUUGCUUCAGAGCAAAGAGAUCACAAUAGCCUGCCAAAUCAUUCCGUUGACCAAUCAAACUAGUACAUAUAGAAUCACAUUGCCCAGAGAUGCUUCUAAAAAUUUUAUCAGUUUUUACGGUCAUCACAUUCUCCAGAAGUUGUGUAACAACCCCAGCCUCCACUUGGUCUUUAUGUUCUGCUCCUCUGAUUUUGAGAUAUCCAUCCAAGAUGCACACAAUCUCUCUCACUUCAAGAAUGCAAGAAAGAAGAGCACCACUGCAACAGUCAGAAUGCGAUGGAAAGCCAUGUAACAAACAUCUACACAAGAUAAAAUUUAAGCCUCCCGUGUCAAAUUUACUAGCAAUUCCAUCCAACUUUGAUGGGAGAUCAUAUAAAUCCUCUAGUUGUGAAAUACUGCAACCAUAUUUCUCAAGAGGAAAUUUCUGUCCGAAUUUGUCAAUAGCUGAAAGUUUAAACAAUAAAAGAGGAGAAAAAUGAGCUGCACAAGCUCCUACAUCAACCGUAGAGAGAAAUGAUUCACGAAGAACUUGGAGAUAGGUCUUCAAAAUGGACGAUAGAACAUCCAAAAGCCAUCCGCCUUUGUUACCUUGCAAUAUGUACAUAACCAAACUUUCGCCAACAUCAAAUAAUUUGCAAUCCUUGGGAAGCCUAAGCCAGUAAGAUUCCAUUUCAGAAAUAGUAUUUCUCUUCGAGUUCCUCCAAAAUCCAGCAUUAAGCAGUAAGAGAAUAAAAGAAAGCCACACAUUAUUCCGAAGAAAGUCCCAGCUUCCAACUUCAGCUGAAUCAAUUGACUUCUGGGGGUGAAAUUGCUGAAGUAGAUCAAAGAUGCACGCAGGAAAAUCAUUGUCCUGUGAAUUAACAGCAGUGCCUCUCACAAAACUAAGGCCAAGCAUACAGGCACUCCGAACAUCCGAAAAGUCGAGAUUCACCAAAUUGACCCCAUGAGAAGUACUAUUGGUGCUAAAACUGAUACUGGAUAUCGUACCCCAGCAAAGCAAAAAGACAUACCUUUCCACUAUGAGAUGUUCCGCUGCUUCUGGCUUUUUACCCCUCCAGAAACUAAGAAUUUGCGAAAAAGUAGUUGACAAAUCAUCAAAGUCCAAACCCAAUUUUUGGAAUGCAGUGUCAUUGCCCCUGUAGAUUGUAGCAUGAAGUGGGGUGACAUCAAUCAGUUGAGGAAGCAAGCUACUAACUACAGAGGAUUCCUUAAUUGAAUCUCCAAAAAUACUCUGCACAACAGCUGAUGCACAGGAAGGCAAGUGAUCAUGUAGUAUAUAGGACUGGUCUGCUAUAAAUGGAACUUCCCUCAACUUAGACCUCAAACGCAAAAGCAACCACGACGGGCAAGUUGAUGGGUACAAUAUCAUAUGUCGUAAGGGCAAAAGCAACCGCGAGAUGAGUAAACCCCACCUAGAAAGUUGCCCUGCGGUAGUUCCAGGUGGAGGAGCACCUACUUCUCUCAGUGAAGACAAUACAAAUUUCGCCAGUUCUGGCUUUUUAUCCUCACUUGAUAGAUGGAAUGCCAUUAGUAGAAUCUCUAAAUGAAAAGCACAAGGAAGAGUCCCAAAGAAAUCAGUGGACUCAGAACAUAUGCCCAAGAUAUUCUUUGCCUUUUCAAGAACGAAGUUGAAAUACCCAUCAAUGAUUUUUGUUUGCAGAUUGCCAUCAGAAUCUGACCCAGAAAUAAGAGCAUGUGCAACCAGAGUGAGAGACAAGUGAUUAUACACAUACAUUCCAUCUUCCACCUUCAGCACCUGAUCUAUGAGGUGUACUUUGAGAGAAGUUGGCAAAUCAUGCCGAACAAGAAGAGUGUGCAACAGCUCAAAACAGAUCUCAUUAAUUUGCAGCAAAGUAAUCUGUACGGGGUCCUCAGAAUUUCUUUCACCAGAAAAACAGACCGGACAGUUGAGAAUUGAAAGGAGCUGAUCGAUAUGGAAUGAUUGAAGCUUUAUCCAAGCAUCCUCAAAUAUCAUACAGUGCCAAUCGGGAGAGAAGACACAUGUUUUGAGGAAACUUAGCAAAUCAGUUGCCGCUUGGAUAGGUAGGCGGGGACUGCUGGAGGUGCUAGUGACGAGAGUGACUGGCUGAUCGAGGCCAUCAGUCGGCCCUGUAGGACGACUAGCUUCAGAAAAAAGAUUCCCAAAGAUCGCUUCAUCUUCAUGACUGACUGAACACUCCGAAUCUGAAACAAUAGCAGGCUUUGUGGAAGUCGAUCGUAACUUAUCAACAACCGGUCUCGAUUUUACCCCUUCUGCGUGGAGGAAAAAGGCAAGAUGUACCAAGUCAUCCACCCAUUGCUCUGAUUCCGGAAAUAUCAAUCUCAGGUAUUCCUCACAAGUAUAAUUUUUCAGCAGAGAAAUCCUCUUAGAACGAACAUGACAGAAGGAAACAGAAAUUUCAGACUCAUGCGAACAAUCAGGAGCUUUUCUUUCGGACUUCUUUAAAAUGUCAGACGGAGAUGUCCAACUUUUAACAUCCUUGAGAAGCUUCAGCAAAUACAGAACAACUUGAGGACAGUAAAUUAAUGGGGGCUUCAAGGAAGAGCUAGAUUCAUCAUAUCUCCAAUUCUUGGAAUUUAAAAUUUCCAUCAUUGAUGCAACUACACAUGUUUGGACUGUAUAGCAAACAUAAUCUUCGUAGAAGAUGAUAUGAAUGAAGUGCAGAAAAUCUUCAAGAAUUUGCAAUACAAGAGCUCCCAAUCUAUCCCCACCAGUAGCCCAAUCAUGGUUAGAGAAGUCAAAUCUCAAUCUAAAUAAGCUUGGUAAGGUAUCGGCAAAAGUAGCAACAGAAUGUAAUAGUUCUGUAUCGUAAGGAUCAUAAGGAAAUUCCAAAGCUAGGCAUCGAAGUAACUUCAAAAUUCUUUGACUGAUAGAUAGCCUCGAGCUAAAAUUUGCAUCUUGUAUAUGCUCUAAAGAUGGAGGCCGAAGAAGCUCUUUGCAGAGCAUAAGGAGGUGAGGUACACACUUCAAGUGCACAAUGGCAUGAUGCUGCAAUACUGACAUCAUAAAAUUUGGAGAUUUCGUAACCAGAGUUUCAGUGGACUGUCUACCAAGAGGAACUGGCCAUGAACUCUCAGAUGACAAGGAAACCAGAAGGCUUGCAGUGACAUUUUCAUCCUUCGAGCAUUUAAAGCCUAAUCCAGGAAACAUGUGAGAAAAGUAUCAGAACAAACCAAGGUACUAAAUUAACUUAAGCACUAAAGCUAAAAAUGCCAGAAAACCCCUAUAAACAGUUGCCUCCUUGAAUUAAUUAAAAUGGCUGCUGCAACAUUGGUCAAAGGAGACAAAAGAACUAGUAGUUUGAGAGGAUAAUGAAGAGAUUUCGAUAUUUGAGGGUGGCAAUGAUAGUUAUAAGGGAUUCCCUGCAUUUCCUGCAAUACAACCUUCAUAUAAUGAUGAAAAUUUUGGAAUAUUAACAGAAGCAACACUACCUUGGAGGUAACAAUUUUCUAUACUUCCCAUAUCCAUGCUUUCAGCUUUGACUGGAAUAGAAGACAAUUGCUCUACAGAGAUAUUUACAGGACAAUGAUCUGGUACAUCACACUCCUUUGAAGUUGCAUUAGCUAGUGCCAAUUCCAAGAAUUGCACUAACUCAUUCUGGGAAGAAACACGAAACAAUGAAUGAAACAAAUUACACAUUGCUUAAAUGGAAAUAAACGUACAAAAGGUGAAAUCUGUCAACUGAAAUAUGGUAUUAUUACAAGAAACGGAAUUCCCAAAAAUAUAGACAAAAUUCCCCCUCCUUCCUACAAAGCAAGGUUUAAAGUAAGGAUUAAAUUACCACCCGGUUCUCGCAGGACCCCCCAUGCCGCGAUACCCAGCAGGUAUCGUGAGACAACACGAUAACCGCUGGGUUAUUGCGGUACGUAUCGUGCCAAUUUUUUUUUUUUUUUUUUGGUUAUGAUUUGUUACCUAGGAUUUUAGAGUUGUUAAUAACUAAAUCACACUAUUCUAUUGCUAAUUUGUUUUUUUUAUUCUGUUGUUUCCUUCCCUCCCUUAUCUUUAAUUUAUAAUAAUUCUAAUCUUAUCUAUUCUAGAAUCUAAUCUAAUCCAAUUUAGAAUUACCUAAUGUAAUCGAUAAAAUCUAGUCAAAUCUAAUCUAACCUAGAAUCUAAUAUAACAUAUAUUUAAAUUUAUCUAUUCUAAUUUAUAAUUAUGAAACCUAAUCAAAUCUAAUCUAUCUAUUAGAGUAUUAAAUAUAAUAGAAUAUAACUAAUUAAAUUCGAUUUACGCAAUUCCAAAUUACCUAAAUUAAUAGUUUAAAAAUUAAAUUACCUUCUUUAAUCUUACAUCGAAUCUAAUCUAAUCUAUUUUAUAUUUAAGUUUCCUAAUCUGAUUUAGUCUAAUCUAAUCUUAUGAACAAACUAAUGUAAUCUAGAAUUAAUUAGGCUAUUUCAUUCCAAUCUAGAAUUUGUAAAUUAGCAUAAGCAUAAAAUAAUUUUGAUUAGUAUUAUUAGAUAUAUUAAAAUAUAUAGUUGAUUAUAGUAGAUUAUAUAGUCAAUUUAAUUUGACAAUACCAACCAUAUCUAUACUAAAAUUAUCAAGUAAAUCUUGUAUCUGCAGAUGACAAUAUGCAAUAUAAUCCACUGCGACAAUCUAUGUGAAAUUAAGCAGUCAUCUUUUUGUAAAGAUGUAAAUUUAAAUUUAAAUAAUUAUUGUACUUCUGAAUUUUAUUAUUGUACUUUAAUUUUUAUUCUUUAUGAGGUAUAGUUGUAUUUUACAUAUAAGAAAGCUUACCAGUAUGUUAAUUGGUGAGUAUAGUAAGCUAUAUAUAGCCAAUAUUCAUAAUUAUUUGACUAAAUCUUUCAAAGUAAUAUUAUAAGAACCCGUGCCAAAGCAUGCCAUUAGUAGAAUAGUAGGUCAUACGUAUCCAUCGACACGCAAAUGUGCCACGUGCCGACACGGAAACGUACCAGUGCUAUAUCGUGCCAAGCAAACAAUGGCACGCCCUCAUGCCACGGCACUUUAAUCCUUCGUUUAAAGUAUCGCUCCGUGCCGAUCAACACGGGGCGAUACGUACAGUGCCACCAAUUAAGGGGCACGGUACAGGGGGCAUCUCUUUUGGAUCCCCCAUGCCGUUGCGUGCCUUUUGGGUAUCGCGGCACAAUGCCGUUGCGUGCCAAGCAAACAACGGCACGCAACAUUUUAAGUUUUAACCUUUUUUUUCUUUUUCUUUUUUGGUUUGGGCCUACUUAUAGAUUUUUUUUUUUUUGCCACACACAUAUCCCUCCGUCUCCUUCUCUUCAACGUUUUCUUCUCCGCAAUUGCUCUUUCAGUCUUUACUUUUCUUCUCGCUAGCUCUUCCUUUUUUUUUUCUUUCUAUUUUUUCCUCUAUUUUCUUAUUAUAAUUUUUUCUCUAAUUUCUUGUUUCAAUUCCUUCUAUUUCUACUUCGUUUCUAUUUUUAAUCACUUCAGUCUUAACAGAAAAGGCAAAGAAAUAGCAAAUCGAAGAUGUUAUUAGGUAAGUAAAAUAAUUUACAAUUUUAAAUUAUUUUUCGUACAUUUUGAAUAUUUCUAACUUGUAAAGUUUCUGUUUUGAAGAAAUUUGAAAUUAUGCAAAUUUUUAUUUUAUUAGUAUUUUCCAUUUUCUAAAUUCAAAAAUAGAAUUGGCAAAGUUAAAAAAAAUUGUCGUAAAUCUCGUACCCAAUACUAGAUUCAUCCAAAAUAAUUUUUGUAAGCUAUAAAUAAAAAUUUGCAUAAUUUCAAAUUUCUUCAAAACAGAAACUUUACAAGUUAGAAAUAUUCAAAAUGUACGAAAAAUAAUUUAAAAUUGUAAAUUUUUUUACUUACCUAAUAACAUCUUCGAUUUGCUAUUUCUUUGCCUUUUCUGUUAAGACUGAAGUGAUUAAAAAUAGAAACGAAGUAGAAAUAGAAGGAAUUGAAACAAGAAAUUAGAGAAAAAAUUAUAAUAAGAAAAUAGAGGAAAAAAUAGAAAGAAAAAAAAAAGGAAGAGCUAGCGAGAAGAAAAGUAAAGACUGAAAGAGCAAUUGCGGAGAAGAAAACGUUGAAGAGAAGGAGACGGAGGGAUAUGUGUGUGGCAAAAAAAAAAAAAUCUAUAAGUAGGCCCAAACCAAAAAAGAAAAAGAAAAAAAAGGUUAAAACUUAAAAUGUUGCGUGCCGUUGUUUGCUUGGCACGCAACGGCAUUGUGCCGCGAUACCCAAAAGGCACGCAACGGCAUGGGGGAUCCAAAAGAGAUGCCCCCUGUACCGUGCCCCUUAAGUGGUGGCACUAUACGUAUCCCCCCGUGUUGAUCGGCACGGAGCGAUACUUUAAACGAAGGAUUAAAGUGCCGUGGCAUGAGGGCGUGCCAUUGUUUGCUUGGCACGAUAUAGCACUGGUACGUUUCCGUGUCGGCACGUGGCACAUUUGCGUGUCGAUGGAUACGUAUGACCUACUAUUCUACUAAUGGCAUGCUUUGGCACGGGUUCUUAUAAUAUUACUUUGAAAGAUUUAGUCAAAUAAUUAUGAAUAUUGGCUAUAUAUAGCUUACUAUACUCACCAAUUAACAUACUGGUAAGCUUUCUUAUAUGUAAAAUACAACUAUACCUCAUAAAGAAUAAAAAUUAAAAUACAAUAAUAAAAUUCAGAAGUACAAUAAUUAUUUAAAUUUAAAUUUACAUCUUUACAAAAAGAUGACUGCUUAAUUUCACAUAGAUUGUCGCAGUGGAUUAUAUUGCAUAUUGUCAUCUGCAGAUACAAGAUUUACUUGAUAAUUUUAGUAUAGAUAUGGUUGGUAUUGUCAAAUUAAAUUGACUAUAUAAUCUACUAUAAUCAACUAUAUAUUUUAAUAUAUCUAAUAAUACUAAUCAAAAUUAUUUUAUGCUUAUGCUAAUUUACAAAUUCUAGAUUGGAAUGAAAUAGCCUAAUUAAUUCUAGAUUACAUUAGUUUGUUCAUAAGAUUAGAUUAGACUAAAUCAGAUUAGGAAACUUAAAUAUAAAAUAGAUUAGAUUAGAUUCGAUGUAAGAUUAAAGAAGGUAAUUUAAUUUUUAAACUAUUAAUUUAGGUAAUUUGGAAUUGCGUAAAUCGAAUUUAAUUAGUUAUAUUCUAUUAUAUUUAAUACUCUAAUAGAUAGAUUAGAUUUGAUUAGGUUUCAUAAUUAUAAAUUAGAAUAGAUAAAUUUAAAUAUAUGUUAUAUUAGAUUCUAGGUUAGAUUAGAUUUGACUAGAUUUUAUCGAUUACAUUAGGUAAUUCUAAAUUGGAUUAGAUUAGAUUCUAGAAUAGAUAAGAUUAGAAUUAUUAUAAAUUAAAGAUAAGGGAGGGAAGGAAACAACAGAAUAAAAAAAACAAAUUAGCAAUAGAAUAGUGUGAUUUAGUUAUUAACAACUCUAAAAUCCUAGGUAACAAAUCAUAACCAGGCACACAAGAAUUUUUUGACCGUCACACUCGCGCCGGCUCGGCACGGCGGGUGCCGUAUGCGUGAACAAAAAAAGGACAAAGUUUUUCGGGAGACUCCCGGCCACGCGCCACUUAAACCUUGCUCACACAGACUUGUAAGUCAGCCACCAUAACAAUGAACACCAAACAUUUAAAAGGGGUCAAAAAUCGAGCAUUAGAGUGAGGUGACCGAAUGACAUCGGCGCAUUAGGAGAGUCUUUACCGUAACGCAGGGGGAGCACGGACUCAACACCAGUAUGCAGGGUGCCUAUUCCACCAGCAGAAUGGUCAUCGAGGGCGUGGAUUGGCCGGGAUAGGUGACUCGGCCAAGAUAAGGAGCUCAACAUAGAGCAAGUGGCAGCAGCAAAAAAAUACACCUAGGAGUUUAGCUGGCCCAAGAAUGUUGGGGGAGGAUGAUCUGGAGUACAGUGGGGAUGCCGGGGCUUGCCGUUAUGCCGGCUACGACGGCCGGCUGCCGUGAGAAGCUAGCUCGGCUCGAGGAUGCCAAAAUCACAGCACUAACACCAACAACCGUAGCCAUGCUGAGGAGGGUCUGCAGCUAGGUCCAGCGAGGAUCUGAGGGAGAGGAGAAGGGGACUACCUGUGCUGGCCAUGGGAGGGACCUUCGGGGGGCCGUAUGCUUGUGCGUGCGGGCACGCGGCGAGGGCUGCUGUUGGGGAGGAGGGGUUAUCCGCUUGGACGGCGGCGCACGCGGCAGGCGGUGGCGGGGCUGGUGCGUGAUGGCGCGCUGGUUGUGGCCAGCGCUGGCUUCCACUAGAGAGUGAGAGGCAUUCAACCACUCUCUCUGCUAUAUAUAUAGAGAGAGAGAGCGAAGUUGAUGAGGCAGGGGGAGGUGAGGGAGGGAGAGAGAGAAUCUGUUCCCGAUCGGUGACCUCGCCGGAGUGUUGACCACCGGCGAUCACACGCCAGAGAGGGUUGCGGUUGUGGAGUGACGGGCGAAGAUACGGUUAGGAGUGAGGCUUAAUACAAUAUACUAUAUUAUAUAUAUAUAUAUAUAUAUAUAUUAUAUAUAUAUAUAUAUAUUACAACAUAUGCACUGUUUAAGUAUACAAUAUAUAUAUAUUAGAGAGUCUCGUUUACUAUACUUCUUAUGCGCUACGAUACGCUCAGUAUUCAUAACUCGUUUUCGAUGAUAGAGCUUGCCGAAUCGACGAUCCAUAGCGCUUAAACAUUAUCUAAAGACAUUAAAAUUUCUAGAAUUCAAAUUUUUAAUUUUUCGAAUUAUUUACCUUACGGAUCAAAAGGUCGACAAAAUUGAUAUUUUUUAACGGCGAUAUGGAUACUUGCUAGUUUAACGUUUGAAAAGAAUGCGGAAUUAGUUGAAUUUUGAUACGAAAAUUCUAUUCACUACCUAGAUAAAGAAUUAAUACUCCAAUUUCUUAAAAUUGAAGGAAUCUCGAUCAUCAUUUUUCUAGGACGCGUUCGAUUUGGACCGUUUCAUUUUAUCCACCGCUGAUGAGACUUUAUUAUGAUUUUCAAAAAUUACAAAAUUUAUUUUCUAAAAAGUUUCAAUACUCUAGCAUCAUAUUUAACGGAGAGUGGUCAUCGUCGAUUCGGAACGCUUUCCAAUAUCGAGAAACAACUUAUGAGUAUGAAGGCUCUAAUACUCAUAAAAGUAUAGUAGCCCUACUCUAUAUUUAUAUAUAUUACUUUACUGUAAUAAAUUAACAGCCCCUUAGCUGCUUCCUUUUUGCUUCCUAGCGAUCCACAGCUAAGUGUAUACUCUGCCACUAUGUAGCGCCUCCUCGCCUUAUAAAAAUCUGGCGCAAUUUAACAAUAAACUCGCACUUUUUCAAGUAGUCCUCAUUCGAUUUCAUCUCUCUAGCUCAAUUGGCUGCCAUUUUUCGACAGAUAUUUAGAUUGUUCCGCGAAACUUUGAGUCACAUAUAUUCCACUCCGGUUAGUUUUACAUGGGGUCAGUCACAUGAAAUGAUGACCCUUCGCACAUUGUCCCUUCUUUUUUUUUUUUUUUUUUUUCUUUUCUUUUUUUUUUUUGUUUCAUCUUUUUUGUUUUCCUUUCUUUUUUUGUUCUUAUUUUUUUUCUUUUUUUUGUUUUUUUUUUAUUGCAAAAAAGUUGCAAAAUUCUGCAAUUUUAAUCCCUCAUGUUCAUAAUUCAAACCCAAACUCACCCUAGGUGUGUUUUGCCUCCUCAAAUUUACCUCCACCUCAAAAAUCCGGCAAUAUUAGACACGUGAACAGCGCUGUGUUUUUGAAUAAAUACUCCGAUCCAAUAAAUUUGCACGUUAUGCAAAUUCACAUCCCCAAACAUCAUCAUAUACUGUUCAAACAGCCACCAAGGGGAUCCCAUUAUAGGACUUACUAGUAUCUAGUGGUGGACCCGAUGUACUGUCGAGCACUAUUUUUGUCAUAUCCCGGUGGUCGCAGUGAGCCGCUUCUAAUGUUGUGCCCGCAUGGGACUAAAGCACCUCUUUAUGAAAAUUCAUUUAGGUAAAGUUAUUCUCGGUUACUACAUUUAAAAAGAUUAAUUAUAAAUAUUGGCUAGAUGAAUAGCUUACUAUACCUUAGGCCACUUCGACCCUCAUCAUCGUAGUUUUAUAUGAUUGUACACGCGUUACAUAACUCUUAAGAUAUCAGCUCAUGUAAGAAUAAUAGAUUUAAAGUAGAUUAGUAAAGGCUUUUGAAUCAAUUCUUUGCACUUUUAUCCUUCUUUUUUUUUACGACUUAAAAAAUAUAUAAAAUAUCAAAAUUACUAGGCGUAAAAUUAUAUACUUUCAUCUCAGUAAAUUUUAUUAUGAAAUUCUGCUACAUCAGAACCGUCCAUAGUGAAUCUUGACACGGGUCUAUGGACACGGCCGCGGUGGUGGGAUAAAUGCCACCUAGAUUAACUAGGAAUAAGCAUCUAUCAAUUUGUUCAGUAAUUUCUUUUAAUUGAAUCCUUUUUAGCAACUAUUUAUUAAAAUCCUUUGAUAGAAAAAUUAAUAUUUAAAAAUUAUAAAACAAGUUGUGAGAUCUAUUCAUACAAAUCUUUUAACAUUAUAAUAUUCAUUUCAUCGCGACGAUUAAUUAAGCAAAUUUUAAAAUAUCAAUAUAUUGCUUUAAUUUAGUACACAUAAUAGAAUGAAAUAUUUAUUUUCUUUAGCAACAAAAUAUUCUAACUAUUUAUUAUGUCUAUUUAUCACAUCUUUUGAACUUUAUUGAAGAAAUUACUUACUAAUUUAAAGAAUAGAGGAUUUUGAGCUGUGCCAUCGGCACGGGGUCUGUAUCGUGCCGGUAUCUUGUUGGCACGGUAUGGUACGGUGGAUACGGCCCGUAUCGACGGGUACUUGAAACCUUGCUUGUGAGCACAUUGAUCGUCGGGCUUUCCUCUAUGUUGUGCUCACCUCAAUGGUGUAAUUCGGACCAUCGGUGGAAUCGCGAGUCUAUCGGGUGCUCGAACCAAGCCCAUAUAGCUUAUUCUCACUUUCCAACGGCCGGCAAUCGUCGUUGUGACUCCGGUGCUGGUUCGCUGCAGCCAAAAGUGCGUCUUGUGCCAUUCGACUACUCUCAUUUUGCCCCAAUCCAGUAAAAGACUAGAAACCCAUUGUUGUACUAUAAAUGAUGCUCUAUGUGUAAUGUUGGGGCGACUUGGACAUUUCAAUGCUUUGUGCAUCGUGGGUACUGUUGGGCAGCAGUGUUUGGCAAUAUUAGACGUUUGGACUUUGGACUUGCUGUCCGAGAUUUGGAAACUUUCCUUUGCUGAUUUGGUGCGAAACGACACAAAAUCGAGCCGAAAUCGGAUGGAUAGUGCGAUUUUCAAUUUCAUUAUCACGAAAUCGAUGUUGUUGAUGUUCGGAUUUGUUGGCGAGCCUCGUUGGUUGGUUUGGCCUCAUGGUUUACACUCUUCGUGGCAGCAAGCGUGUUGUGGGUGGUUCCGAUACCGAAAUAAGCACCCCGGUAUGGUUUGAGUUAGUUUUGGAGUUGUGGCUCCCAUUGAUGCGCGUAUUAUUUGCGGCUGUCCCAACACUUAAAAUGUGGUGUUUAGGGACAGCGGGUGUGAUUUGGACUUUGGAGAUACUCGGUGUGACCCAAGACACUACGUGAGGUGAAGUGGCAUCCUGGUGAUUUUUUAUACGGAUUUCGACGUAUUCGAAAUAUUGGUAAAAAUAUCCGAUGUUCCGUUUGUGUCGUGGCAAAUUGUAGGUGACUAUAUGUCACCAAGUAGUGAUGUGACUGUGUUGUUAGCAUCUUAGGGCUGUUUACUCAGCAUAUGCAUGGUUCACCACCAAAGUGGUGUUCGAAUCAUCGGAACGGUACCUAUAGGUUCGGUUGUGGCUUUAUACGGCGGUUAUCGUUCAGUUUGUUGAGAACUUAAUGUGCGAUUGUCUCGACACCUAAAGUGGUGCAUCCUGAGAUUGUGGUCACGCUGUUGUGACUCCUUGUUGAGUCGACUUGGUUUGGGCUUAGCUAUAUAAGCUGAUUUGUGGAACUGAUGUUUCGAUCGCACCAUGGUAUACGUAGUAUAGGUUGAACAUGUCGGAUUGAUGUAGAGGACACAUAGGAUACUUAUUGUGGCAUUUGGUGAUUGAUCUGGGACGAUCAAACUAUCCGGAUAAGUCUCAAUCGUUGCGGAUAAGGAGGAGGCCGUUCCAACUACUUCGGUUAGGAUAUAGGUCAAGGAGGUUCCAACUAAUUCGGUUAAGAUAUGGAUCGAGAUGGUUCCAACUAAUUCGGUUAAGAUAUGGAUCAAGGUGGUUCCAACUAAUUCGGUUAAGAUAUGAAUCGAAACGGUUCAAACUAAUUCGGUUAGGAUAAGAUCAAGGUGGUUUCAACUAUUUCGGUUAGAAUAAGAAUAAAGUUGUUAUUUUCAAAAUAUUUUGUUCUUAUCUUCUUGUAAGCGGGAAGGUUAUAAAUAGGGGCCCUACUGGCUCUUGUAAGUCAUUCCAGUUUUAGAGAGAAUUAAUAUACAGACUCUUCCACAUACAAAUAUUGUGUUCUUUUCUAUUCUUACUCUUUAAUCUGGUUUCAGAUAUCCAUCGGGGAGGCGCUGCGAUAUUGCUUCCUCCACCGACAGAUCAGUGAUUGCAUGUCUUGUACAGGUGACGAUUAGAUACACCGGUCGAGUCGAAAACUGGGAUACUUGGUGAGGUGGGUGCUCCAUUCCGAAGUCGGUAAAGUUGUAUCUUACUUUGUUUUCCUUCUGCUUGAUCUAUUCUAUAUAUUGACUAAGUAGGACAACUUCUCUUGACUUCACAUCGGUACAUAGUUUCACUCUACUUGUUGCUUAUAAUGUUGAUUAUUGUAUUGAGCUCUCCUUUAGCUCGUGUGCCACAUGUAGAGUAGGUUGUGAUUUGGUGGAAUACCCACCUGUUUAUGAUUGGAUAUGAUAGAUUGGCAUUUACUCUUAGUUGAGUUAUAACCAUAUUAGUCGAUUGACUUAUCUUCUGUGAAAUUGACCGAGCAGAUCGGUGUAUAUUCUCUGUUGAGUUGUGGCUACGUUAGUCAGUUGAUUCAUCUCCUAUGAUACUUGACCUGGUAGUUGACGAUUUACUCCAUGAGACUAACCUAGUCGGUCAGUGUUAACUUCCUCAGAAUUGACCCUCAGGGUCAGAUGACUUAGCUUAUCAUGAUUGGGUUUCAGCAUGCUUCACCUUGAUUAUCUACAUUAAUGUUACCUUUCCAUUUACCCGUGUAGUGUAGCAUGCUGGUUGACCUAGAGGGUAUGGAUCUUAGUGUUUUUGUUGGCAUCCAUGAGAUUAUCUCUUGGCUCCUACUAUCGCCUACUGACAGUGAUUUGACUGUUGAGUCUAAAUUAUUGGAGCUUUGAGCAUACACACAUGACUAUAGCUUGCAUAGCACCGAAGGAGUCUUAGACAGGGUUCCUAACCCAGGAUUCUUCAGUUGCCAACAUAGUGGGAGGUGAUGUUUCUUAGACAGGGUUCGCCACCUUAAGUUCUCACCCCCAAAUUUGAUAUACACAGCACUUAGACAAAGUGACUUUGGGUGCGGGUUGAUGUGUCCCUCCGGAGUGGUACUUGAUUUUUGGUCUUCGAGCGAGCUUAGGCCGGGCCUUUAUGACCGGCCACAGUGAUUGUGUGUAUUUUGGACUACUCGCACGUCCAGUUGAUGCAUAAUAUCUCUAUUUGAGUUGUGCAUAGUAUCUGGUAGUUGUCUAGCAUACAAUAGCAGCAUCCCUCAUUUAGUGGUUUAUGAUAUUUUGUUAUUCAUCAUCUUGCUACUGUAGUUGGUGUCUCUAUGAUGCUGGCAUGUGACUAAGUUUACAGUAGCGAUGCCUCUUAGUAUAUUCCAACAUGACAGUUAUUUACUGAUUUCUUUGCUACUGUGAUUGGUUAUAUUCUUCAUGUUCAGUACCUUGACUCGUGUUUGCAGUAGCAGCAUUACUUUGUGUUCCACUUUAUGAUAUUUAUCUACCUAUCUGUUUUGUUACUGCAGUUGGUUAUUCCUUAUUUGCAAUCACCUUACUUAUCGUACUCCUUUGUUUGCCAGUGAGUGCGGCUUGCCCUCGUCGGCUGGUUGUCCCCACUGGGAAACAUAUUUAUAUAUUUCCAACCCCACUGUUUUUUUAAGUGUUGCUGACAAUGCGGGUCGAGGUGCGGUCUGAGGACGCAGUUAGUUAGCGCCUAGAUAGCUCGUGCUAUAGACCUCGUUUUGGAUUCAUUCUUAGUUACUAUAUUUAUUUCAUAUGGAGGUUUGGUGAUUCAGUUUGUAGUAUUGUAUUAGUUAUAACACUUGGGUUUUUCCUAUUGUAGUGAUUUAAUAGAUUCUGAAUUAUGGUUUUGGAUUUAUUAGUAGUUGUAUAAUGAAACUCCUUGUUUUGAUUACUUGUGGUUACUUAUUUAUGCUUCCACACCGUGCACGUAUAGGGAAGACUCUGUCCGUGUGGACAAGUAUAUCUUGUGCGUGUGGCGGGUCUGUGCAUGUCUCGAGCAAGGUUUAAAUACGCCAACUCUAUUUUCAAAAUAGGACUUCUACGAAAGUUCUUUCAAAAAAAGGCCCGAGGCGUGACAUAAAGCUUUCAAAAUGGCAUUAUAAGAGUUUAUUGCAAACAACAAAAUUUAAAAAAUCGUGCCAAAACAUGCCACUAGGAUGUCAUGCGUAUCCAUUGACACGGAAGCGUGCCAAGUGUUGGCACGAAAGCGUACCUGUGUCGUACCUUGCCAGGCGACAACCGGCACGCCCCCAUGCCACGACACUUUAAUCCUUGCUACAAAGUAUGAAGAAUAAACAUCCUUAGCCAAUAAGCAACACAUUUCCAGACGAUAGUUGAAUUUCAAGUUUGAUAGACCACAACACGAAACAGUAGCAGGUCAGAAAUGAGUAUGUUUAAAUGCAUUCAGAUUUUCAGAUUCUAGUAGGUUUACAUACCUACAUUGAUUUUUGAAGAUCAGCAUUACUCCCAAGGUAGAAAGUUAUUAUGAUAAAGUUUUAAGUUGAAUUAAUCAACUCUUUCUCUCAUUAUAAUGUUUGUUUAAUUCAAGUUUGGUUAGAAACUUAGAUAUACUCUAUUCAUAUAUUAUAUAGAAGUUCCUUAUACCAAUUUUAAAGUAAUAUACUCAAGGACAUCCAACUUAUCAACAGAAGACGAAUUUCUCGUGAAUUUUGUAAUGCACAAUUUAUUUCCUACAUAUUAAGAGACAGAUAUCAGCUCAAUCUAUCUAACUGCCAGGUUUUGUGUAUACUGAUCUAUGAGGAAGAUGGAACAGGUAAAAUAAUACAAAGGUGGCCAAAAACGGACAUAUGAAUUCAUUAGUAGCAAAUAAGAUUUAGAACCUUAGGAGUUUAACCAAGACACCUAUAGUUCACAACAAUAGAAGUUACAAAUAAAUAGCUACAUGGGAUAUCAAACAGAGGCUAAGAUUCAACUGUCAGAGAGAAGUUUUUCAGAAUUUGCAGUUUUUCUAACCCACAACUUCAAGUAAAAACAAUUGUGACUUUCUCACUCUCUCUUCUCAUUUUCUUUUCCUUUUUUUUUUUUCCUUUUUUUCUUUUUUUCCUUUUUUCAUUGUCUACGGGUUUUUGCUUCUUGGCUUUGAACUUCUAACUGGCUAUCUAACUAUCAUAGCAUUUGAUGGCAACAGUACCCAGCUUGUAGCAAUUGAUCCCAGGUUCGAUCUCAGAUGGAUGCAACAAUAUUCAAAUUCCUUAGUAUAGUGAGUUUCCUUUCUUUGUGGGCUAGGAGGGAGGGAUAAAGGGUUGAGAGGCCUUCAAGCGACUUCAGAAAGAACUAAGUAAAAUCUAAACGGUUUUCAGUAUAUUUUGUACUCUAUUUUCGUUGAACAUUAUGAGAUCUAACUUACACAGCAUACCAAGCAUAUCAAACAUAGUUAUGAAAUUUCAAUUUAUUACAUCCUAGAUUCCCUACACUAUCUCCACAAAUUAUUAAUUACUAAGCAAUCUAAAUGGUGGUCUUACUCAUAAUUAUUUGGCAUUCUGUUUUUGUUGAAUAAUCUAAGAUCUAGCAUUAUGCAUGCAAAUACUAUGCUAUGAACUUAUCCUAUCAAUUGUGAAUCCAAAAUUUUGAUGCCUUAAACAGUUGUAAGUACGCAACUGCAAUACGGUCUGUUCAAUUAUUUUCAGUGAUUUAAUCUCUGUUCUCAUUGAUUAGGUUCCUAUUUGCCAGCCCUAAUUUUAAUGGGAGCUUGGUCAUACAAAAUCUUUGAAAUUCCUUAAUUUACGGGCACUCUAAAUGUUGUUAUACUUACCUACACAAUUCUUACUUCAAAAAUCAUCAGAUAAAGCUUUGUACUUGCAAUGAGAUGCCAAACGUAUUAACUACAAUUAUCAAAUUUCACUACAUUAUAAUAUUUUAUCUUACAUCUGUAUGAACUAACAUGCAACAUAAUGCACCUAAUCUUGAUAUUUACAAUUUUAACUAAAACAUGAUAAUUUUUUCAAAAUAGUUGAUAUACGCAUUUUAUAGCAUUCAAGUAUGGUUCACUACUUACAUACAGUAUGAUUAACAGCAUGCCAGUCAAGCGAUGUUAUAUAAAGUUAUAUUUUGCUAUAAAUGAGCACAUUAUGACAAUUAAAAAAAAAAUUGAAGAUGAUGAUGAUGCUAUAACACAUGCAUUAUGUAAAACGAAUAUAGUUCAUAUGAUGGUUUAUCCUAUCCACUGGUUUGUAGUGUCGCAAAUGUUUUCACAGUGCAUAUUUUAUAUGAUGAUUACAAUGAUAAUGAUAAAUAAAAAUUUUCCAAUUUCCCAUCGAGUACGGUGCCACCUCGGAAUCCUGAAUUUGGGUGUGACCCUGGAGAAGUGUCUGGCACCUAGAUAUCAUGAUUGCAUCUUUAUUCCAAUGCCUACUACAGAAUAUUUUAUGAAGAAGAACCACUUCUAUAUGUAUAAUGGCCUCGAGACUGACAUUAGAGAAGAUAAAUGACAUAUUAAUUCAUGACACAUGACACUCGGUUAUUAGUGUAUUUUUUAGACCUAUAUUAUAAUUUUGUGUCGUUAUCCUAUAUUUCUGUGCCAUCAUGCUAUUAUAUACUAUAGGAAUGUCAUGUUACUCACUCAGCAUUCUGCUCAUUAUAUCACCUCUAUAAACAUAAGACAACAAUGAAAAUUAAGCAGAGUUUCUUGAUGGUUGCUCUAAAAGAGAUUGCUUGUGCUACAACACUUGACACUAUUCAAUAUAUAUUAUAAUUUGGGGAUCUCACAAUAUAUGCCAUUUUGUUCACAACUUUCCACGGAAUAAGAUGUUGAUAUGCAUGUCAGUCACCGCAGCUUAAGAUUCAAGAAAUUAUUUGGGUUCAAUGUUCCACUCUUGAUAUAUGAUGGUUUAGCCAAUGUUCAGAAGAUCCGAGUCUCAUGGCCGCACAGCAUCUGCACACACUUAAAUGCAGGACAUGACAAUCAACCAAAAACUACAUCGAUGCCAAGUUGCUAAAAGAAAGCAUCUUGAAAAUCAAACAUAGCAUUACAUAAAUUAGGGGAAAAGAAAAGGGAACAACGAGGAGUCUAUUCCAAACAUAUUACGUACAUAUUCGGCCAUCGCUGGUGCUUUAAACCAACAAUAUCCAGAUCACAUGAAGUCAAGAAUGAUGUGUUUGUAUUAUUUACUGACUUGACCCUAAUUGCACUGAAGAAUGAAAGGAAACUGAUUCCAUUAUUACUAGUUGUCUUCAAAUAAUCAGUAGAAAUAUAAAUCCACUGAGCAAAACCCUAAGAAUCCUCUCUCUUUAAGGAGCAAGAAACACCAUGUAUUAACAAUUCAGGUAGCAAGAAUGAGGAAGCACAACAUAAUGAACAAAAAAAAAGAGCAUAUCACUGUAGACUACUCAAUUCAAGGGAAAAGAACUUCGUCCGAUAAAGCGUUCUAAUUUAAACCCACUAACACAAACCUGCAAUCCGAGGUCGCUUCCAUCAAACGCGGAUCUCUCCAGGUAACUGAUGCAGAACUCCACCGACCUCCCCAAGAUCGUCGCCACUGCCGGCUCCACCUGCUCCACUGCUGAAUCAAGAACACCAAGAGCGUCAAGAUGAUGAUCCAUCUAAACCAAAGACGAACCGAAUCAAAAUCCUAGAACAAAUCAACAUCGCAGGAACCGGAUCCGGCGUCGUCAUACCUGAGGCGAAGAGCACGGCCGAGGCGAUCGCCCGCGCCGCGGCGACCACGGCGUCGAUCUGCGCCCGGGUCCAGCUCUCGGACCCAUCGGCGGCGGCGGCGGCGUCGGCGGCGGCGUCGGCGGCGGAGGCGAGGACGGCGAGGAGCCGCCGCAGCCCCGGGCGCGCGGCGUCGGAGCGGAGGCGCGAGGCGAGAUCCUUCGGGGCCCUCUCCUCGCCGAGGAUCUCGACGAGCCCGGCGAUCUCCGCCAUCGCGAUCAAUCCCUGAGCUUACCCAAACCCUAGGAGGGAGUCGACGAUGAGCGAUCGACGCAGUGAGGGUUUAAGCGAUGAGUGAGAGAGAGAGAGAGAGAAAUGGGAAAGACGAGGUAAAGCGAGGGACCGAUUUAUAUUUUUAUACGUGGAUUAAGUCGGUUAAUGACGUCAUAAUUUGUCGAAACUAUACCCCAUUUCAAUUAUUAGAUUGUUUUUCCCUUAAAAAAAAAAAAAAAUAUUUCAAUCACCACCCUUGUGUAUUCACAUUUUUUUUUAUUUUAGUAUUCUGUGAUUUAAAAUAUAUCAAUUUAGUAUCCUGUUAUUUUAUUUUUAUUUUUUUUCUUAUCAAUUUCACUAAUUUUUUUCAUUAAAUUAACUAUAAAAUUAAAACUAAAAGGUACUAAAGUGAAAUUUAGAUAGGAUAUCUGAAGUUUUUUUUAUAUAAUUUAAAGAAAUAUUAACGAAAAAGCUAAUACAAAGAUAAAAAUAAAACCAUAGGAUACUAACUUAAUACACUUUAAAUUAAAGGAUACUAAAGUAAAAAAGUGCGAAACCACAGAGGUGGUAUUUGAAGUUUAUUCUAAAAAUAUAAAAAGCCAAUAGAAAUUACGGUCUGUUUAGUUCAACAUCAAAUUGUAAAAAAUAAUUUUUUAUUAAAAAAUACUUUUAGUGAAAAAAAAUACUUUUUUAUAGUAUUUGAUUUAUAAAAUAACAAUAAUAUUUUUUUUAUCAAUAUUUGCUUGGUUGAGGAAAAAAAUUAACAUUUAUUUGAUUUGGUGGAAAAAAUAAAUAAAUAAAUUUUACGCAGCUUAAGUUUAGGUUUUUCGCCAAAUAACAGCAAAAAAUGAAAUCUUCAAUUCUUUUUCAAAUAUGUAAAAAUACUUUUAUAGAAAAAUAUUUUUAUGUUAAACCAACAAAUAGAAAAUUAUUUUUCAUAACGAAAAUAAUUUUUCGAUUCGUUUUACGCCGAACCAAACGCCCUUUGUCGAAACUAUAAAUAAUUUUGAAUCCGUUAUCCAAACUUUAAAAUUUUAACUUUAUUAUUUUAUCUUUUAAUUUAUUUAAUUAGAUUCAACCGGCGAUACUUUAAUUUUAAAACUAAUUUAUUUAAUUGGAUUCACCUUUAUUAAUUAUUCGCUAAUAAUUAUUAUAUAAUUUUAUCUAACGAAAGAAUUUAAAUAAUUAAAUAUGACAAAGUUUUGUUAAAUAUCUAAUUCAAUUAGCUAUAACUAUUUAAACAAAAAAAAAGGAGGUAUCAACUGAAAAAAAGGAAAAAAAACAAAAAAAAAAAAAGCAAGCAAUGCAUAUGGAGACCCCUGAACAACAGACUUUUUGAAAUGGCUCCCCCAACUUUCUGUAUUUAAUUGAUCUUCUUUGUAUAAGUACUGCAGUCAAUUUAGACAUAGUUUCAAUUACUGCAGUUGAGGAUUCUCGUGCAGUUGCAAUUAUAGUAAUUGAAUUCAAAUGAAGAAUUAAGCUCCUGUGCUUUUAAAAGCAUACAAAAGCUUAAUGUGCUUAUAAUUUUUUAAGUAGUUAAUCGUCCUUAAAAUCCGUGCAGCACUAAUACAGAAGAUUUAAUGGAACACACCGUAAUAAUGCUGCAUAGUAUUUUGAGGCGGUAAAAUGUGUGCAAGAAGAUGGAUUUGAUUUAAGGUUGUGGGUCCCUGUGUUAGUUUGUUUCUAAAAAAAAAGUGAGUGUAUUAAAUAGAGGAAAAAUAAAUGGAAAAGAUCUAUGAGCUGUGGGGAAAAGUACUUUUUUUCCUCCUCCUCUUUUUCUUUUCUUUUGGUUCUCUCUUUUGGCUUUUCCACUUGCUUACUCCCCAAGCAUGCUUUAUGAGUGGGAAGGCUUAUCUAUAGGCUUUUGGGUUAAUUAUACUAUUGGUCUCCAAUCUUUUCAACAUUUUACAAUUUGGUCUCUAAUCUUUUUUUUUAAAAUUAAGUUUAUAAUCUCUUAAUUUCAUUGCAAUUAAGUUCCAGCCAUUACAUAGGUGUUAAAAUUGACGAAAAAUACCACGUCAAUACCAUGUCAGUGCCACGGAGGCGCCGUGUCGGCGCCACGGUGGCACUGUGUCAGUGGAUUGCAAAAAAAAAAAGUUGGGGACCAAAUUGAAAAACGUUGCAAAAAUUGGGGACCAAUGGUGUAAUUAACCCAUUAAAUUUAUAAAUUCAAAGCAAGAUUUUUAAUUUAAGAUUUAAAUGUAAAAUUUAAAAUUUGAUUUUGGAUUCAAAUUUAAAUUUGAAUUCAAAUUCCGAUUUUGCAUUUAAUUUUAAAUUUUUUAUUUUUAAUUCAAAUUCACAUUUCGAAUUCUAAAUUCUAAUUUAAUUUCAAACUCGAUUUGAAAUUUCAAAUUCAAAAUGUGAAUUUGAAUUCGAAGUUUAAAUUCAAAUUUAGAAUUGAAAUCAAAUCUUAAAUUCAAAUUUAAAUUUUGAAUUCAAAUUUAAAAUUUAAAAUCAAAAUUUUGAAUAUGAUUUUAAAUUUAAAUUCAAAUUUUAAAUUUAAAUUUCAGUUUCAAAACUUUCAUUUUAAAUGUAAAUUGAAAUAUCAAAAUCAAAAUCAAAAUUUUAAGUUUGAAUUCAAAAUUUAGAUUCAAUUAAAAAUUUAAAUUUAAAAUUUGAAUUUCAAUUCAAAAUUUUAAUUCAGCUUUAAAUUCAAAUUCAAAAUUCUAAUUUCUCAUUAGUUUAAAAUUUUAAUUUUAAUAUUAUUUUUUAAUUUAAAUUUAAAAUUUAAAAUUUUUAUUUUUAUGGACUAAAAUGAAAAACAUGCAAAGUUUAGGGACCAAAAUUAACAUACAAAAGGAUGUCAAAUAGGCGCUGAUGAGGCAAUUUUGUUAAUUUUAACAGUUUUUUUAACGGCUGGGACAUAAUUGCAAUAAAAUCAAGAGAUUAUGGACUCAAUUGCAAAAAAAAGGUUGGGGACCCAAGUGAAAAUUGAUGCAAAGGUUGGAGACUAUGAUUUUUGAACUUGCUUUUGAUUUUAGCUUUUUCUUUUUUAAAAAAAAAUUAUUAGAUAAUUCAUAGAUCAAAUAAAAUUUUAGGAGAUCCAAGANAUUCAAAAUUUAGAUUCAAUUAAAAAUUCAAAUUUAAAAUUUGAAUUUCAAUUCAAAAUUUUAAUUUAGCUUUAAAUUCAAAUUCAAAAUUCUAAUUUCUCGUUAGUUUAAAACUUUAAUUUUAAUAUUAUUUUUUAAUUUUAAUUUAAAAUUUAAAAUUUUUAUUUUUAUGAACUAAAAUGAAAAACAUGCAAAGUUUAGGGACCAACAUUAACAUACAAAAGGAUGUCAAAUAGGCGCUGAUGAGGCAAUUCUGUUAAUUUUAACAGUUUUUUUAACGGCUGGAACAUAAUUGCAAUAAAAUCAAGAGAUUAUGGACUCAAUUGCAAAAAAAAGGUUGGGGAUCUAAGUGAAAAUUGAUGCAAAGGUUGGAGACUACAGGUGUAAUUAUCCUAAGAUUUUUGAACUUGCUUUUGAUUUUAGCUUUUUCUUUUUUAAAAAAAAAUUAUUAGAUAAUUCAUAGAUCAAAUAAAAUUUUAGGAGAUCCAAGAGUAAACAAGCCAAUAAUUUUAAUUUUUUUAUAAAUUGACAGGACAAGUGAGUUGAUCCUAUCCACCCAUAGGUUCAAGUUUAGUUUAGGGUGUUUGGCCCGGCUUUCUAAAAGUGAUUCUGAGCUUAAAAUUUAUUUUGGGCUUAGUAAAGUAUUUAGCAAUAAAAGUUAGAAAAAUUGAUUCUACUUUUCAAAAUAAAAAAACUGACAACUUAUUUUCCUUGGCCUCAGUACUUCUCAUGCACUAAUGGAUAAACUGUCACCGCAUNNNNNNNNNNNNNNNNNNNNNNNNNNNNNNNNNNNNNNNNNNNNNNNNNNNNNNNNNNNNNNNNNNNNNNNNNNNNNNNNNNNNNNNNNNNNNNNNNNNNUUUAUAAAAUAAUAAUAAUAAUUUUUUAUCAAUAUUUGCUUGGUUGAGGAAAAAAAAAAUGGAAAAAAAAGAAUAAAAAAAUUUUACGCACUUAAGUUUUCGUUUUCCGCCAAAUAACAGCAGAACAUGAAAUCUUCAAUUUUUUUUCAAAUUCGUAAAAGUACUUUUGUAGAAAAAUAUUUUUACGUUAAACCAACAAAUAAAUUAAAAUAAACACCGAACUUGAAUUUACACAUAGUUAUAAUUACAGUGUAGCUGAAAUUACGUGCAAUCAAACAAUCUUUAAUUAGUUUUUAUUAUGUGUGCAAGAAGAUGGAUUUGAUUUAAGGUUGUGGGUCCCUGUGUUAGUUUGUUUCUGAAAAAAAAAGUGAGUGUAUUAAAUAGAGGAAAAAUAAAUGGAAAAGAUCUAUGAGCUGUGGGGAAAAGUAUUUUUUCUCUUUUUCUUUUCUUUUGGUUCUCUCUUUUGGCUUUUCCACUUGCUUACUCCCCAAGCAUGCUUUAUGAGUGGGAAGGCUUAUCUAUGGGCUUUUGGGUUAAUUACACUAUUGGUCUCCAAUCUUUUCACCAUUUUACAAUUUGGUCAAUAACUUUUUUUUCUACAAUCAAAUUUAUAAUCUCUUAAUUUUAUUAUAAUUAAGUUCCAGCCGUUAGAUAAGUGUUAAAAUUGACGAAAAAUACCACGUUAAUACCAUGUCAAUGCCACGGAGGCGCCGUGUCGGCGCCACGGUAGCGCUGUGUCAGUAGAUUGCAAAAAAAAAAUUAAGGACGAAAUUGAAAAAUGGUGCAAAGAUUAGGGACCAAUGGUGUAAUUAACCCAUUAAAUUUAUAAAUUCAAAGCAAGAUUUUUAAUUUAAGAUUUAAAUUAAAAAUUUAAAUUUUGAUUUUGGAUUCAAAUUUAAAUUUGAAUUCAAAUUCCGAUUUUGCAUUUAAUUUUAAAUUUUUUAUUUUUAAUUCAAAUUCACAUUUCGAAUUCUAAAUUCUAAUUUAAUUUCAAACUUCGAUUUGAAAUUUCAAAUUCAAAAUGUGAAUUUGAAUUCGAAGUUUAAAUUCAAAUUUAGAAUUGAAAUCAAAUCUUAAAUUCAAAUUUAAAUUUUGAAUUCAAAUUUAAAAUUUAAAAUCAAAAUUUUGAAUAUGAUUUUAAAUUUAAAUUCAAAUUUUAAAUUUAAAUUUCAGUUUCAAAACUUUCAUUUUAAAUGUAAAUUGAAAUAUCAAAAUCAAAAUCAAAAUUUUAAGUUUGAAUUCAAAAUUUAGAUUCAAUUAAAAAAUUCAAAUUUAAAAUUUGAAAUUUCAAAUUCAAAAUUUUAAUUCACUUAAAUCAAAUUCAAAAUUCUAAUUUCUCAUUAGUUUAAAAUUUUAAUUUUUAAUAUUAAUUUUUAAUUAAUUUUAAAAUUUAAAAUUUUUUUUUUUUAAUGGACUAAAAUGAAAAAACAUGCAAAAGUUUAGGGACCAAAAUUACAUACAAAAAGGAUGUCAAAUAGGCGUGAUGAGGCCAAUUUUGUUAAUUUUAACAGUUUUUUUAACGGCUGGGCAUAUUCGCAAUAAAAAUCAAGAAGAUUAUGGACCUCAAUUGCAAAAAAAGGUUUGGGAACCCAAGUGAAAAUUGAUGCAAGGUUUGGAAGACCUAUGAUUUUUGAACUUGCCCUUUUGAUUGUAAGCUUUUUCUUUUUUAAAAAAAAAUUUAUAGAUAAUUCAUAGAUUUUCACAUAAAAAUUUUUAGGAGAUCCAAGGUUAAACACAGCCCAAUAAUUUUUAUUUUUUUUUAAAAAAUUUAACAGGACCAAGUGCAGUUGAUUCUAUCCACCAAUAGGUUCCAAUUUUAGUUUAGGGUUUGGCCCCGGCCUUUCUUAAAAAGUAAUUCCCCCUGAGCUUUAAUUUUAUUUUGGGGCUCAGGUAAAGUAUUUAGCAAUAAAAGGUUAGAAAAAAUUGAUUCUACUUUUUCAAAAAUAAAAAAACUGACAACUUAUUUUCCUUGGCCUCAGUACUUCCUAAAUGCACUAAUGGAUAAACUUAUCACCACAUGGUAUGAAAGAGCAAACUAGCAAACUAUUUUGAAAGUGAAUCUUAAACCAACUUUAUUUAAAAAAAUAAAACCACAAUUUACCAAAACCCAACAUAAGCAAACUCCACUAUCCCAAACAGGGAUUGCAAACCGGGGAGUGAUCUGGGGGGGCUGGAGCCCCGCCCGCCUCCCCCACCCCCCGAUUAGCAAAAAUCCGCCGCUCCCAACCCCGAAGGCCCGUUGGGCGUGUUUAGAAAAAUACUCCCACUAAUCCGCCCCUGCCUUGUACCCGCCUCCCGUCGGCACCCGAAUCCCACCCGCAACUAAUAUUUUUAUAAAAUUAUAAUAUUGUUAAUAUUUUGUAAAAUAUAAAAUAAUAAUUUUUAAUAAUAUUAUAUAUAUAAUUUAACAAUAUCAAUUAUAAAAAUAAAAAAAUAUCAAUCGUAAUUCAAAAUAAAAUUCAAAAGUUUCAAAUACAUUAAAAAUGAAAGUACUAAUUUAUUUCUAUUUUAAACUUUUUUGUAAAUACAUUACUUUUUAGGAAUAUUUUUUAAAAAUAUAAAUGAUUUUUAGGGCGGAUCAUGGCGGGGCGGAUUGAGGGUGGGUCAAAAUUUCUCUCGUUUCCUGCCCCGAAUCCAUCUCGGAUCGUAAAAUUUACCCCGAAUCCGUUUAUUUUCUCCCAUUUACCGCCCCGUCGAGGCGGAUCGGGGCGGGAGCUCCACCAACCCAGAUCCGUUUGCAUCCCUAAUCCCAACCAACACUAGCAAGUAUUAUGAUCUAAACACAACCAAUUAUCUAAUCACUCAUAGAGAAAACAAAUAUAAAUAUUUCAAAGUAACCAAUCGUUCCUAAAGCAAGUGACAAAGGGCUUGGUGGUUGGUACUCGAGACCCAAGUUCGAAUCCUAGUUGAUUCACAUUUCUAGGUAAGUUUAUUUAUAAAUAAAAUAAACGAAGCGGGUAGCGUGCUAUCUAUCUCUCAAAAAAAAAAAAAAAAGAAGAAAUAUUUCAAAGUAAGUGCAAACCAAUCAUCCAAACAGUGAAAAUCUACUUAACCUCGCAUCAAUCCUAAUCAAUCCUAAGAUUGCUGAAAACAAAGUUAGAAUCAAAACAAAGAUAAAACCCUAGGGCUUUUCCUGGAAGGAGAUCUAGGGUUUCUCAUGACGGGGUCGGGUGAGCAGAGUCAGAAACCAGCAACAAACAAAGUGGGAGCGAAGUGAGCUCAGAGAGAAAGAAAUGAGGGAAGAGAGAAAGAGAAAGAAAACAGGGCGAGUCCACGCAAAGCCAGUAAUGGAAAGGUCAGGUAAGGGGGAAGUUCAUGGGGCUCGCUAGUCGACGUGCCAUGGCGAGUAGACAACGAAGCAGUGCCGAAGAAAAAGAGAUGUGAGGAGAUAGGGGAAGAGCAAGGGAGUCCUCCAAGCCCUAAUCCGUGCCAACCCGACUCGAUCCGGCCCUCCCCAAUCAAGAGAGUUCUUCUAGGGUUUCUAUUUAUGUCGAUCUCUUUGGAUUUAUAAAAAAAGAAGGUAAUCGUCUAUUAAUCUAUAUGAAUUUCCAAUAUUUUGCCACGUGGCAAGUUUUCCUUCACCUGAACUGAUCUUUGCUUUUAGCUUUUCCUCUCCUCUCCUCUCUUCUCUAUGCAAUGACCUGUAAUAAAUGUGCUCUUUAAUUUAUACAUUUCUGAUUAUUUUCUCUUUAAUAUUAGUCAUUUCUUCUUCCUCAAACAAUUUAUAACCUGCAAAAUAAAAAAAAGGAAAAGAUGAAUAGUUACUACUUUCAUAUCUAGAAAUUGGGGAAGAGCAAGGGAGUCCUCCAAGUCCUAAUCCGUGCCAACCCGACAUGAUCCAGCCCUCCUCGAUCAAGAGAGUGCUUCUAGGGUUUCUAUUUAUGUCGAUCUCUUCGGAUUUAUAGAUAAAGAAGGUAAUCAAAUGACUUUUUCAGUAGAGGAAGCUAAUUGGACAAUGAUAAUGUACGAAUCGAGGGAUAGGUUUGGGAAACAAAAACCCUAAACUUAAUUUUUCUUUUCUUUAUUUUAAUCUCAAAUUCUUACUAUGUAUCUAUUUAGGAUUUAAUUUAUUUGCAUUAUUUUUGAUAUGGUGGUUGUAACAAUCAAGGAUUUGAUUUAUGUGCAUUAUUUUGAUUAAUUUAAAGGUUAGUUUUGAUUUCAUAAUUGAUGUGGCGGUUAUGGCCCGCAACUUCUGACCAUCACAUGCCCAACCAAAAGAGUGCAAAAUCCUGCAAACUUACAUNAUCAUAUGCGUAGGCUCCGUUUAGGAUUAUAAAGAGAUAAUAUUACAUGAGGUGGAAAAAGUAUGAAAGAAAAAUAUUCGUACUGCUUCGGUGUCUAAAAUUACAUAGAAGCAUUUUUUUCAUACUUUCAUCCCAACUCUAUUUAAUCUAUAAUAGUGUUAAAUAAUCCUCAAAUCAAAUGAACUCAUAAAAUAAUUUCCUUGCAAUCUCAAACGAAGGCUUAAUAGUUUUUUUAAAAUUUUAAAAGUAAUAUAUAAAUAAUAAAUAUAGUUGAGGGCGUGCUUGUUUUUGUAAAUCUUUGAUGUUGAGCUUGUGGCUUCGAGAAAGUUAUUAAUGUCGGCGUUUAUUUCAAAACUGAAGUCACGUGCUGACCUAAACUCUCACUCAUAAUUAUAUAAAAAAUUAGGUGGAUCGUAAACACUAACUAACUGUUCCAAAAGCAUGUGCUAAUAGGAAUGACAAACUGAUAGCACUUAUUAAGGGUCAACGGGCUUCGACGUGACUCAACUCACCUGGAUCAACCCACCUAGAUAGUGGGUCUAUUGUUGAGUCUCUUACUGUUGGGUUUAUUUUGGAUUGCAAUCACACUCAACCUUUUGGGCUCAUCCAACUCAGCUUAUUAGUCUUCUGAGCCUAUUGUAGACCCGGCAAAUGGGCGGUUUGGAAAAUCCACACGCGGGCCACCAUACUUGUAGGUUGUUUGGGCAUGAAUAAAUGUUACCCGCAAAUUUUUGUGCAUCCAAUAUUCUUACCUAUACUUGUGGGUAUGUGGGUUACACAUAGGGUGCGUUUGGUUCGGGUUAUCCUGCCAGAAUUAUAGGCAAUCCUGUCAGGAUUAUUACAUUUGGUUCAUCCGAUAUGUAAUUUAGUCAGUGAUGUAGCAUUACAAAUAGUGCAGGAUUACACUGAAAAUAUUACCAAGAGUGGAGAGUGUGUAUGUUGAAUUACCAAAAGCGGUUAAUUUUACAUACUAGUAUAGGACCCGCGCUUCGCUGCGGUAAACGAUUAAUUUUAUAUUAUAGUUAAGUAAAAUUAUAAUUAAACAAUUAAGUAGAAAAAUAAAACAAAGAAACUUAGAGUUAAAAGAAAGUAAACAAAAAGAAGUUUACCUAAAUAUUGUGUUUUUCUUCUUUUGCCAAGAUAAGAAGAAAAAUACAUGCCCAGAACUAUUUAACGAAAAGAAAUUCACCUAGAUAUUGUAUUUUGUGGUUAAUUUUACACUAUGGUUAAGAAAAAUUAAGAAUAAAUAAAAUAAAAAUUGAUCAUAUGCUUUAGAAAAGUUGCCAAAAAAAAGAACAAAAAUUAAAGUAAAAAAAAAUAAUCAGAGAUUCACCUAGAUAAUAAUACUUUUUAUUAUAAAAAAAAAUAUUUUGAAAUUUCAUGUUGAGGAAAAAAAAAUAAAAAAUAUUAUAUAUAAAAAAAAAAACAGAUAAGAAGUUGUGAAGUUAUACUUCAGAUCUUUUUUUUUUUUGAGGGUAUAUGAGAUUUUUAGAAUGUUUCAGUGCGUUCUCUCUCUCUAUAUAUAAUCGGUUUUAUUCAAUUAGUAAUUUCAGAUGAGAGAAAAAAUAUAUUAAACUAUCGAAUAAAUUUUAGAAUGCCAAAUUGUUAUUUUGAAUAUUUUUAAAAAAUUUAAAUUUCAAAGUGAAUAAAAAUGAUAUUAAAGUUUAAUAUUAAAAUCAAAUUAAUAAUAUAUAAAAUAUUUCUGAACUAUGUAUGAACUAUUUUGAUUUAGCCAUUAAUAUUAACUAUUNAUAAUACUUUUUAUUAUAAAAAUAAACAUUUUGAACUUUUCUGUUGAGAAAAAAAAAUAAUAAAAAAACAUUAUAUCAGAAAUAAAAAAAUAAUAAUAAUAAGAAGCUGUGAAGUUAUACUUCAGGCCUCUUUUUUCUUUUUUGAGGGUAUAUGAGAUUUUUAGAAUGUUUUAACUGGUCGGCAUUCUCUCUCUCUCUAUAUAUAAUCGGUUUUAUUCAAUUAGUAAUUUCAUAUGAGGGGAAAAAUAUAUUAAACUAUCGAAUAAAUUUUAAAAUGCCAAAUUGUUAUUUUGAAUAUUUCAAAAAAUUUUAAAUUAAAAUUUAUUGCUCAUUGAACUAUAAAUAUGAUAUUAAAAUUUAAUAUUAAAAUCAAAAUAAAUAAUAUAUAAAAUAUUUCUGAAUUGUAUAUGAACUAUUUUGAAUUAGCUAUUAAUAUUAACUAUUAACUAUUUUUAUUAACUGUUCACUCAAAAGUGCACCGGGGGACGGGGCAUACGUGGUUGUUACUGAACCUAAGAUUGAUUAAAUAAUAAAUAAUUAAUAUUAUAACGUGGUUUGUUAAAUCCAAGUGCCCUGAUGUGGCGACCACACAUUUUUUUUCUAACUCUAUGUUGAGAAGUUUGAUUUCAAUUUUUCUAUACUCUAUUAUUGUGUUUAUACUGUUUGCUUGGGUGUAAUCUCAUCGUGCUUCUCAGAGCACGCAAUAAGAGCGACAACACAGUUCACUUCCAAACUUUUUGCUUUGAGCUCGAGAUGACCAAAAAAUAUACAAUGGUAUUCAAGCAUUCAUAAUAUAUAUGCCCCGUUUGGUUGGGGGAUAAGCGGGGAUAACGAAAGUUAUCCCCGCUAUUCCGCCAAACGGGGUGAAAUUUGACCGGAAUAUUUUAUCCCGGUCAAACCUUGCUAUUCCCGGUUAUCCCGGAAUAGCAAGGAAUUUGCUAUUCCACCAUUUUGGUGGAAUAGCACUAUUCCAAUGCUUAAUUUCAAACUUAAUUAAAAUUAUAAAUUGAAUUAAAACUAAAUUAUAUAAAUAUAAUAUGUUAUAUAUUAUAAUAUAAUAUUUUUAUUAUAAAAUUAUUAAUUGUACUAUAUUAAUACAUAUUAUUUAUAUUUAAAUAUUAUAAUAAAAUUUAGGCCAAUUUGUAUAAAAAAUCCACUUAUUUUAGGCUUUUGCAAAAUCGGACCACCUUUUACGUUUUUGCAGAUUCGGUCCGCUUUUUCAGCAAACUGACCAAAAUACCAUUUUUACUUUUUUUCUUUCCUCUUUCUCUCUUCUAUUCAUUUCUCUCGUUUUUUUUUUUUCUCGCCAGCAGAGCGGAAGCGGAAACGGUCCGUCUCGCCUCUCACCCUCAUUCUCUCGCCCUCGCCCUCGUCCUUGCCAUCGUCCACGCACCCCCCACCUUCCUCGCCUCCAACCCCGCCAAGGCCGCGCCGCGACUUUUUUUUUUAUUAUUUUUUUCUUUUCUUUUCUUCUCUGACUCUUCUCCACCGUCUCCGUCGACGACGCCUCUCUCGUCCUUCCCCGUCCUUCUCAUCUCUCCCUCUCCCUCAUUCUCUGCCGCAUCCGACGACGAUGCAUUUUCGCCGGCACCGACGUCGACACCGUGGAGGUCACUGCGGCGCUACAGGCUCGGAGCGGGGAUCCUUAGCGGCGUCGUCGCCGGCACCGUGGCUGUUGGCAGAGAGGGUGACAAAAAAAAAUUAUAGAAAAAAACAGAAAAAAAAUAAAGAUAAAAAAUUAUAUAAAAAGAAGGAUGAAUAUAAAAUUACAUCGUUAACUAUAAAAAAAAUUAUAAGUUGCACUACUUAAGAUGUAAACUGCAGCUUUAAGAUGAAAACUACACUCUUUAAACGAAAAUUACACUCUUUGAGAGAUAUUUACACUAUUUCUCUUCUUAUUACACUCUUUCAGAUGUAAACUGCAUCCAUUAAGAUGAAAGUUACACUGUUUAAACAAAAGUUGCACUGUUUCUCCUCUUGUUGCACCAUUUCUCCUCUUGUUACACUGUUUUUUAUUUUGAACUGCACCCUUUUAAGAGAUAUUUAUACUGUUUCUCCUCUUGUUGCACUGUUUCUCCUCUUAUUGCAUCAUUUCUGUAUAAACAAGAGAAGAAAUAGUGUAACAAGAGGAGAAACAGUGCAACAAGAGGAGAAACUGCACUGUUUUAAGAUAUAUAUAUAUAUAUAUACGGUUUUUUCUCUUGUUGCACCAUUUUUGUGUAAACAAGAGUAGAAACUGCACUAUUUUAAAAGAUAUAUCUACUGUUUCUUCUCUUGUUGCACUGUUUCUCCUCUUGUUGCACCAUUUCUGUGUAAAUAAUAGGAAAAAUAGUGCAACAAGAGGAAAAAUAAUACAAUACAAAGGAGAAACUGCACCCUUUUAAGAGAUAUUUAUACUGUUUCUCCUCUUGUUGCACCAUUUCUAUGUAAAUAAGAGGAAAAACAGUGCAACAAGAGGAGACACAGUACAACAAGAGAAGAAACAGUAUAAAUAUCACUUAAAAAGAUGCAGUUUAAGAUAAAAAAUAAUAUAAUUUUCGUUCAAAGAGUAUAAUUUUUAUCUUAAAGCAGCAGUUUACAUCUUAAAUAGUGCAACUUAUAAUUUUUUUUGUAAUUAAAGAUGCAAUUUCAUCUUCAUCCUUCUUUUUAUAUAAUUUUUUAUCUUUAUUUUUUUUUUGUUUUUUCUAUAAUUUUUUUUGUCACCUUCUCUGCCAACAGCUACGGCGCCGGUGACGACGCCGCUAAGGACCCCCCUGCUCCGAGGCUGUAGCGCCGCAGUGACCUCUACGGUGUCGACGUCGGCGCCGGCCAAGAUAAAUCGUCGUCGGAGGCAGCAGAAAAUGAGGGAGAGGGAGAGAUGAGAAGGGCAGGGAAGGGCGAGAGGCGUCAUCGUCGGAGACGGUGGAGAAGAGUCGGAGAAGAAAAAAGAAAAAAGCAAAAAAAAAAUAGUAUCGCGGGGCCUGCGUGUCUGGAGGCAAAGGUGAUGAUGGGUGCAUGGACAGGGCGAGCUAGGGUCGCAGAGCGCGGAGAUGACCGUUUCUGCCUCGCUCAGCCUGUUCCCUUGCUCGCUCUUGAGUGGGCAUUUUUUGCAGAGAAACAAUAUUUCAAAAAACGAGACAGAAACGAAGAGAGAGAGAAAGGAAAAGAAAAAGAUAAUAAGGUUAUAUUUUGUCAGUUUGCCUGAAAAAGCGGACGAAUCUGCAAACGAAAAAAGGAGCCGAUUUUGCAAAAGAUCCACUUAAAUAAGCUAUUUUUUUAUGCGAAAUUUCGAGCAUUAAAAUUUAUAUACAUAUAAUUUAUAUUUUAAAUUUAAUAAUUCUUUUUAUUAAAUUUAAGUUUAAGUAGAAUUUUUAAAAAAAUUUAUAAAUUUAUUAUAAGAAUAUUUUUAUAAUUUUUCCACCUACUUCAUUUUAUUUUUAAAUUAAAAAUUUAAUUUUUAAAUUAUUAUAUUAUAAUACAAUCUAUUUGAUUUAUAAUAUUUUAAUUACCUAUUAUUAAUAAUUAUUAUUUAUAUUUAAAAUUUUAUAAUAAAAUUUAUAGUAAAUUAUAUUUUAAAUAUUAUAUAAAUCUUUUUAUAAAUUUAAGUUUAGGUAGAAUUUAAAAAAAAAUUAUAAAUUUAUAUACAUAAUAUUUUUAUAAUUGUUCCCAUCCAUAUCUUAUUUUAAAAUGGUUAAAAAUUAAAAUUAAAUUGUUAAAAUUAUAAUUUAUAUCGCAAAAUUUAAGUUUAUAAUUAUUAAAUUAUUAAAUUUUAAAAUUAAAUUUUGUAUUUUAAUUUUUUGAAAUAAAAAUUUAUUAUUUUAUAUUUUUCAUAUUUAAAUUUGAUCUUUAAAUUUAAAGUUUGCAAUUUAAAAUUUAAAUUAUUAAUGGUGUUGGGUAAAAUUUUGAGAUUUUAAAUUUCGAAAUUUUUAAAUUUCAAAGUUAAAAUUUUAAAUUUAAAAAUAUAUAUUUAAAAUUUUAAAAAUUUAAAUUCAAAUAUAAUAAGAGGAUAAUAUGAUUAUUUUUUAUUUAUAAAACCCACUAUCUUUCUUAUUCCAUCUUACCUAACCAAACGCUAUUUUUUUUAUUCCCAGAAAUAACCCAAUUUUCAUCCAAACGCAAAAUUGAUCUAAUCCCCGCUUAUAUCUCAAUUUAUACCUAUCCCUGUAAUAGCCACUUUUUCUUUAUCCUCGAACCAAACGAUACCAUAUAAAUAUUAAUAAUUUGUACUGGAUCACAGAGAAUAAAUAACAACACAUGCAUAUAUUCUUACCAUGCUACAUGCCAUAAAUUACAAUAAAUUAUUACUCCCCACUAAUUUAAAUUACACAAACCAUCAAUACCAUUUUAGCUAAUUAAGACCCAUCGAAUAAUAUUUAA